This 65349-nucleotide long non-coding RNA is filed under the name Ananas comosus (pineapple). RNAcentral describes it as "long non-coding RNA (ACOM_LNC033937)". The record is from RNAcentral. Lineage: Eukaryota; Viridiplantae; Streptophyta; Magnoliopsida; Poales; Bromeliaceae.
AAUUCGACCUUGUGGUUCGGACUUAAAUCAUACUAGUGUAAAGACCCGCGCGAUGCAGCGGUUAGAUAAUACAAACAAAAUUUAAAAAUUUUAAUAAAAUUUAUAUUUACGGGUUAUUGAUAUAUAGAAAACUAUAUCAUGUUAAGUACAGCCAAUUUGCAUGACUAAAUUUAACUAUUAAAAAAAUAAAUUAAAGUUAGAAUCCACUCAUCGAUAAAAUAUUUUUUUUUUUGAGAUAUAAUCGAUAAAAUAUUAAUAUGGUGCAUGUAAUUAAUUGUUGCACCUUACAUGUAAUUAGAGGAGUGGAAAGGUGAAGAGUUGAGCGUUGAGAAGAGAAGAAGGUGGUUUGAUUUAAAAUUGGGCUAUGAGAAUGAAGGGUAAUAUGUUACGUGGUAAAAAAAAAUUUUAUGGUGUAUGCAAAAGAGUUACAAAAGAGAGGGGGUGGGAGAUUAAUGGAGAAAGGAGUUGAUUAAAAUUAUAAAGCUCACUUAUUAAUAUAAUAUUAAUAUGAUGUAUAUAAUUAAAUGUUACACCUUGCAUAUAAUUACAGGAGUGGAGAAUGAAAGAUAACAUGUCACGUGGCAAAAAAAUAUUGUGCCUAUAUGAAUAUUGUGGCUUCAUAUAGAUUUAUAGAUGACUACCCUGCGUUUACUGUUCCAUUGUGUGUUAGGAGCGACAAUCGUCAAUCGCGUCCUUCAAAUUUAGUCAUUGGGCAGUAAAAUGUUAUGUUUUGAACCGCUUGUUCGAUAUAGGAGAACGGAGAGAUACCACACACAGGGAUAUUUGAACUUUUCCGUUCCUUUUCCUAAUACAAUUUGUAUACAGGGGCAGAUACAAUAGGCUUUGCAGAAUGAUCCGAAUUCAAGAAGAUGCUCUUCAAAUUCAACGGUACGGGCAAGCCUGACCCCUCGCUCGACUCAUCACGUCUGCGCAGCUUGCAGAAACUAUGCCCAGACGACAACAGUUCCGAUCCCGAUGGUAACAUCACACCGAUGGAUCCGCUAGCAACGAGCAGGUUCGACAAUGUGUAAGUUCUGAUGCAGCCCCGUUAGUUACUACUUACAGUAGGAACUCUUUCCGCUUCUUCACGGACUUCAGGAAGUCCAUGGUGAAGAUGGCGAGAUAAGGACAAAUUGUCGGGUCAUCAAUUAGUAUUCAAGUAUCUAACACAGUUUAUCUGAGCAGGAGAAUGAGCAAUACCAUGUUUGCAGAAAUGCAUGACCUGAUAAAACUAUGUAUUUUGAUUUGAAUGUAAACUUCUCCCUACUGGAAAAACAUCUUAUAAAUUACUGAUGGAAUACUAAGCAGUGUGCUUACAGGCAUGAUAAAAGAUAACAUGAUCUGCAAUAAUAUGCACUCAAAAGGGAAUAUUUCUCCUCUAACUUAUUACUGAUGGUUUGUUGUUCUCUACGCUACUUGAACGAGCCUGAAGAUUAGUUACAGAAUGACAGAAGGAUGCGGCGACAAUCCAUGUACAAUUAAUUUACAAAGAUGAGGCAGAAACGAGCCAAGAACUUGCACCACCAUUUGAAGUUAGAUUUGUUGCCUCAGGGGGGUGGGGGGAGGGGGGAGAGGAGAGAGAGAGGGAGAGGUUAAAGCCUUGGGUUAGUCCCUACUAUCUAUAGCAUUUGCUACCCUAGGAGAUAUAACAAGCAAAAGCCAUCAAAAUUUAGAUAGUAAAACCCUCUAGCGAGACCGGGAUAGAAAGAACUCGUAAUCUGGAUGUUGGUUUGCGGACCUCUCAUUGCCUUUAUAAAUAACAGCCCUAGCCAUCACCGAUGCCGUUUGCUUCAGUGUUUUUAGUCUCUCUUUUAUAACUUCCGAGAGGUUGGAAUACGGAGCAUCGUCCGGUAAAACGGUCUUAAAAUUUGAGUCCCUGGGUUGAAACCACCACUCCCCCUGUACAAACAUGCCACAUAUCUUCAACCGAAGUACCAUGUUAAAGAGCAGAUAAAUGGUAAAAUAUUUAGAAUAAGGCCUAGUUUGGUAAUGUGGUGAUUAAAACCACUGAUGUUUUUAUAUAACAAAAGGCCCAAAAAAUUCAACAGCACUUGCAAUAUUUCCUUUUUUAUAUUAUAAAAUUGCGGUUGCAGCUGCCAUCGGAAAGCACGAAGCAGUUUCAUAGUAUAAAAAAGGAAAGAUCGAAAGUGCUUUUGAAUUCUUUGGGCAUUCUGCAGUAUAAAAAUGAUGCUUUUAGCCACUACAUGGACAAACUAGGACUAAGUAGUUUAUUCUAGAAUAAUCAUUUAGUUCAAGUAUACGUUUAGAUGAGACAAUAAAUCCUAAUACCCUGUCAUUGUAUGUCUGUAGGCCCACAACUGGAGAAACUAAGUGUUUAAGCCCAUUGACCAUAUUUUCUGACCCACUUUGUUGAACCAAAGAUCCAAAAGAGUGAUAGGUUAGAAAUGCAGCAUGAAAAUUGCCGUCUGGUAUACGAUAAACAGGAUACCAUGCAACAGAAAACCUGGAAGAGUCGAAUAGAAAUUGUGAGUUAAUAUGACAAGAAAAGUUCAUUUAAAAUAGUAUAGCAACAGUAAGUGUGAAGAUAAAAAGGCUCUGAAUAACAAGAGAAGAACCAGGAAGCAGGGUGAAGAGCAUUGAGGUUUAGGUUUUCCAGCUUCUCAGGGUCUCCAAAUAUUUGGCUUUUAGAAGGUCUCACGCCGCUAACCAGCUCUUUUAUCCUAUUUCACAACAUGGAAAACAUCUUUAUAAGGGAAAAAAAUUGCAGGAAGUGGACUCCUAAUAAACAGCAAUAUAAUAGUAAAAAACAGAAGAGAAAGCCACUAGAUUGAAGUGUAAAUGCCACUCAACAAGACAACCAAAAAGAUUAUGUAUAAGUUACAAAUGAAAAACCAUCAGCCAGCUAGAUGGAUAACUGUCUAAGCUACCAAAGCACGAAUAAAACGAUAGAGAUAAUAGCAAAGAAUGCAAAACAGAUUGAUUAUGAAUUUAUGAUACUCGAAUUAUGUAGACAUUUCCACAAAAGAAAACCAGUUCGACCAUGAAACAGACGACACUAUAUAUCCUGAAAAGGGAAACUUAAAAAGUUUCUCAUGAAAUAUGAGAAUUUUAUCGAUGAUGCGCGUCCACUCCUACCACAGUGAACCAUCCUCCCUUUAAACAACUUGUAAAAUUAAUGGGAGAGAGAUAUUUUUUCCAAAAGUCAUUAAGAAUGUGCAAAGGUUUAAAUAGAAAAUAGAAUUCAUGCAUAACAACUCUAAUGAAAUGUCAAAGGUCUGAAAAUUAAGAAAGCAAAAGAUAACAGUGUAGAGAAACAAAAACUAACUUCUCAAACAAUGGGCGUCGCCAAGGAGGCUGUUCAGAUUCAAAAUAUUCAAAAAUGAGCUCUCCGUCCCCACUACUGACCAACUGAUCACCUUUUAAAGACGAAGAUUUAAAUAAGCAUGCAUCUUUCCCCAUGGAAGAUUGUGGGAACAGCUUUGAGAAAAUUGGGAGAGAAGCUAAACAAGAUGAAGUUUUGGAUUGCCCAAAUAAUUGAACAGCUGACAGAUAAGGUACAAAAUAUGCACUGAACUCGGAAUGACUGUUCCGAAGCCUUUUCAGAUUACGAUAAUCGCACGCCUUUACUUCCAAACCAUAGCACCCAGGCUCUUCAUACCACUGCCAAAUGCUCCUCAAGGAGACAUCAGGGAUCUGAUGCCGACACAAUGAGUUGCCAAGUAGCUGUUCUUGUAUGCAAGUGCUGCAGCUUUUAACGCAAGAAGCAUGACCAACAACCGGAGAAGCAGAAUAAAUAAAUUUCUCAAAGUCAGCAAUAGGAGUGCCAGUGACCCGCUGAAUACCUUCUACAUCAAUCUGCAUUUUGUAGGCAUCAUUAACAGCAUGUAUUAUCUUGUCUAAUUCAGUCUCUGAUCUAAGAAAGCCGUUUUGAUUAUGCGUACCAUCAAAAGCUUCAGCUAAAUGAGUUUGACUCAUCACUUCAUUAUUUGAUUUCUUGUCAUCAGGUGAUGACAAAUCUGUAUCUUUAGAGGAAAGAAAAUUAGUGCAUGAUUGUGAAACCACUGUCUGAGCAUUGUCUGAAGUAGGAUUAUUGUUAUGAACUAAGUGAUCCACAGUAGAAGCCUUACUAUCUAUACCCCUAUCAGAAACUAUUGAAUCUUUCUUCCCUAUGGGAACCCACUUCUGCAAUAUAGAAUUCACACUAUACUCUGACUUACAGGUUUCUGGAGAACUUUCAGUUUCUGACUUCAUGCAUUGGCUGCGGUCAAUAUCUGUAAGAAAAAGAUCGCUAAACCUGCACUUGAUAUCUUCAGAGUUGCCAUACAAAGACUUUGUUUCAAUGUGCAUAUGAACAUUAGAAUUCUGGCAUAUAUUACCAAGUGUGGUCAUCUCCUUACCAUUCUUUACCACAUGCUUUGCCUCAAAUUGAUCAAGGUCAACAUUGUCACAUGGCUUGGCCAAACGUUGUUGAGAACCAGUAACACUAGGUAAUGUUAAUUGAGAGCUUAUGUGCUUCACAUUAUUCAUUGGAGGCAUGGAAACCAAUGCUUCUUUGUGAUGAUUUUUGGAAGCCCUAGCUGUGCUGCUCUUAUCAGUAGAAGACCCCUUUCUGGAUUGUUGUGCGGCCUGUUUGGAAGCUGCACUCAGUUUUGAUUUAGCAUUAUUAAUUUGGUCUCUGUCUACAGAUUUCAAUUGAAUUUCACUCGAAUUGACUGCUUCAUUAGCUACUCUGCAUGAAUGUGUUGCCUUUCCGCUAUGGUUUUGUUUCAGCCUUACUGAUGAAUCAGAUCUCGUUCUUGUUUUGGAUUCUUUUAGCGCAAUCGCACUCUGGGAUGUAAUAUUUGCAGUCCUUGGUUUACUACUGCAUUCAUUGUCUAGUUUCUGAACCUUUUGCCAGACGGAAUGACCACUAUCUUUUCCUGUACGACCAUGGAUACUUGAACUGCUAAAAUGAUUCGUCCCAUUUGAACUCACACUACUUGCCAUUUUCUUACUCCGUCUACCUCUUUUUCCAGAAAUAACAGGAUGAAAGCCAUUGCUGCUACACGCUUCGCUACUGCACUGAGUUCUUUCAGUAACUUCGCACAUGUCAGGAACAGAACAGUUAUCCAACUCGUUAGAGCUAAUUCUGGAGAGAUUUACAGUUGUGGUAUGACAAGAAUGUUCAACAUUGUUUGAUUCUGUAACCAACCCAGAAUCUAAAGAAUUAUGCUCACAUUCAUUCUUCUUGGCUAUUAACUGGGUCUCAGUAUCAUCGCUACAGUUUCCACUGACAUCACUGUUCCAACCAUCCAGAAAUGGAUCUGUUGCUGUAGCAUUACAGCUGUCUAAGGAAAUGCUGGAUGAAUUGUUAUGACUAUCUUUCCGUUUCAUAUGGCUAUCCAUAUAAUUCUCAUUGAAUGUGGAUAGAAUUAUUUCAGGAGUUUCUGAUGUACUUAAUGAGUUACAUUUAAAUCGUUCACCAGAAAAGCCCAGAGAUGAGGUUGUUGGUUCAGACUCAUCCAUCUCGUCACUGUAGGAUGUGCAGGAUACUAAAGUAGUCGAGCAAUCGACAAAUUCAUUAUUGUUUUCACUAUCAACCUUUUCAGCAGAAACGUCUUUUAAUGAAGAGCUAGGAGAUGAUGCCUUGUCAAAAGCAGAAACACCAUCAGUUAUCUCUUCACAUUGAGUUUCUAAUCCAGUGGAAGAAGCUUUUCUCUGAGCACCUUUUCUGUACUGUUUCCCUUUCUUUUUUCCUUUCUUUCUCGGACUCCUUUUCGAAGUUUUCUCUCCCUUAAGGACACUGUUAACUACAUAAUCAGGACCAACGACGUUAAAGUUGUCACAAAUUGAACUGGAAGAAUUAUCUGAUGCCAAGAAGCUAGAAGCACUCAUGCUUGUGGAAUUUUUCACAUUUUUUUCCCAUUUUUUCCUCAAGUGAGAUUGCCUUGAGAUGCCUCCCCUAAAAGAAUUGCAGUCAGAGAGUGGAGAUUUUACAUGAUUUGAAUUCUGGACCAUGUUGAUUUUCUGCUCAUUUGGGAGAUCAACUUGAAAAAUAAUAGUUGGUUGCGGAGAUAAUGACUCGAGACUAUCCAUAUCAUACGGAGUUCCAGAAGUCAGAUGGUUUCUUCCAUUUGUACCUUGCAACGGUGGCAAAAAAGGAGCGAGUUUCCAGCAUGUGUCACGAUCAAUGGCAAAGAAAGUGAAAAUAACGCACCUGGACAUGCAAGUAGGUAAAUACAUGUACUUGUGUACUUAAGCUCGAAAUAAAAAUUAAAUAUUUACAUUGUAUACCCUGAAAACUAUCGACUUACACAUAUAUACCUGUAAGAUCUAGAUUUUCACAGAUGCACAUAAAAACUAGCAUACUCUUUGUAAUUAUAAAAGUGCCCCUUAAAAUAAAAAUAAAUAAAUCUUUUCCAAAUACAAAACCAAAUUUCCCUGUGAAUUAGAUUACUCCCCAACUUUAAAUUAGAAAGUUUUCGUAACAAACUCAUGCACUUUCUAGGAGUGUAUAUGAAAAAUCAGAUUUUCCAGGGGGCAUAUAUAUGUAAAUAUACAAUUUUUCAGGUACAAAAAUGUAAAAAUUCUAAUAAAAAUGUGCAGCGUCAACCGAAUGGGAGAGACAUUAAACCCCUGAAUUUAGAAAUAUUGCAUGCAACAGGAGGGAAGUACAAUCAAAAACACAAUUUGAAACUGCUAUUCUUUUCUAUAACAACAAAAAAAAAUCUAGGCAACAGCAUUGCACUAUGACAAAUAGAAAGUACUUUAAGUAACAGAAGAACAACAGGCUAUUUGAAGCUUCACAUCAGAAACAAUAAGAUCAUCAAGCUCAAUCCAUUAACCAAAUUCUUGCAAAGGAUGCAAGUUACGAAUAACCUAUAUUAGAGUACCUCUGUUCAGAGCUCCUAGAGUCGAACUCAGCUACACAUUCCUGAAGAAAGAUGCAUGCAAUGUCAGAGACUAAAGCAACCUUGUAACUAGCGUCUACUUUGAGUGGGGGGGAAAAGAAGAUGGUUUAAAAGAGAAAAUAUAAAUAUAUAGAUAUCACCUUUGAACAAUAUUGGUUACUAUUCUGAGCUGGUGAUCUAUUGAACAUAAAGCGACUUCUCCUAUCUGCAGCCUUGUCAACAUUGCCACUGAUCCUUCCAUGGCCACACGGCAUCUUAUGUCGAACCUUCCUACACAUAAUUGGAACAAAUGCAUAUGGGUGGAUGAUGCAAAUGAAACAUAACUACUAGUGAUAUAGUGCCAUUCCAAAAUGCAUAAUUACACUACAGGUAAAAUGGACUAGUUGCAAAACUAACUAGAAAGAAAAACAAGAAGAAAUGGAAUAGGCCAUAAUUAUAAACAAGAAUCUAAAAUAAAAUGUUAGAGUAAAAAAGUAUAAAAGAUAGAAUAAUAAAAUAUAUCAGGUGAAUAGAUAAAACUACUAGCAUUUAAGCACCUAAAAAAUAUUUUCUAAAUGUGUCAAUAAGGUUUUCUAAGAUCUGGCCUAGUAAUUUAAAGGGUAUCUAGGAUGAACGAAUAGAUUUAUAUCGAAGAAAAUUUUAGAUGGCCAUAUAUGAAAAGGAAAAUGAAAAUAGAAUACCGCCAAAGAGUAAACUUUUGCUUCUCAUUAGACCAGUUGCAUGGGUAUUUCAUAUUUCCAUAAUAAACUUCUCAAAAUCUUUUGUGAAGUUAAAAUUGAACGAAAUGAAGUACCAACUGUGAGAGACUUUAACAGAGCAAGUAACUAAUCGCUUAAUAAAGUUUUUUUUUUUAAAAAAAAAAAUCUUAUCCACAAGAAAAAAGUACUAUCCAACCUGUCAAGCCAAAAACUGAAAACAGAGCUCUUGAUAAUAUAGAGGAAGAACAGCCGGAAAUCCACCAAAGAGUUACUAACAAAUAUAACGACUGGCGAAAAGGUUCGUUUUCUGCUCCGCAUUCAUUCAAAAUGGGAUUUUUUUUUUUUUUUUUUCCUUCAAUACCAUUGUAAACCCAGAAAACACAACAACACAAGUACAUAUUAAGACUAACAAACGAAUUUUUACCCAGAAGCAGCCCUUUUUAGAACAGAGAGAAAUUUUAAAAACCCAAUUUUCAACAAGGUUAAUGUUAAAAUAACAAUGAAAUUGUGCUGUUACAAAUUACCAACAAUCAGUAACUAGAUUAAUUGCCUGAGUGAAUUUAUAAAAAGUUCUGUCAUAGAUAUGAUAUAACCCAAAUUUCUGAAGUUAGCAAGUUACCUGAGAUUAGUGCAACGAAGAAGCUAGAAGACAGAGCAUCAAGUUUCUCCUGUUUCAGGGAUUUGAUAGUAAGGGCCAAUACUUAUCUAAAAACAUUGUAAUGCCAAUAUCCUGACCAUCAAAAACUCAUAAAUACAAGUGUGAAAAACUUUCUACCAAAUUAUGCAAACGAAUUUGUUCAAACUCUUUCGCUACUUAGCAAUGCACAGGAUUUUCUUAAUAGGUGAAUCGUCAUUAUGGCAAUAUAAUAACUAGUGUUCAGAGAACAGACCAGCCCAUCAGGCUGGAUGACUGUGAAGCAGCAGUUUUGGGGCCAAUUUGGUCUAAAAGAAGUAGAAGUAGCAAUUGUAAACAACAACAAAAAAAAAACCGUUUUAAACCAACCGGAUUCAUUGUUUUCAGUCAUAGUAUAGGGCAAACUAGCCUCCACGAAGCAACAAUGAUUAGGAAUGCAAAAACUUUGGCAUCACGAAUUUCCGUGUGAUGCUGCUUUCAAAAAAGGGGAUGAUUCUCCAUCAAUAUGGUAAUGCAUGCACAGUCAAAUUCAUUAACAAGGAGAUUCCAACAGAGAAGAACUUUCUAAUCAACAGAAUUUUAUUUUUCGACCGCGCUCUGCAAAAGAAUUGGAAGGUCGAAAACUCAAGAAAAUUAAGGAUAAUACUAAGCCUCAAACUUGGUACCUCACAACCAAGGGAAUAAAGCAAAAGGUCCAAAGGUGGCAUCACAUCCAACCAAAUCAAGAUUCAAACAACUCCAAGAUGCAUAUAACCGAUCAUCCACGCAAUCCCACAAUAAAUGAGAACAAGAUGCCAAAGACCAAGCGAAAGAUGACCUCUUUCGAGCUCCGCAAUAACAAAUUUUACAAGGAAACCACCCUAUAAUUCAAAUUCCGCAGAACAAACUCCAAAUACAUAUGAAAAAGGGUCAAAAAUCUCACGACAGCAUAUCCGUUUUUUUUAUAUAUAUAUAUAUAAAAUGGUCAAAAAUCUCACGACAGCGUAUCCGUAUUUUUUUUUUCUUUUUUCCUUUUCGUGCCUUUGGGAAAAAAAAGACCUUUGACUGAAGAGAAGCUAUUAUUAUUAAAAUAAGGACUGAAUAUAAAUUCCUUUCUCCCGGAAAAAAAAAACCAACUUGGGGAAUCAAAUAAAAUAAAUUUUAUACAAAAAAAAAAAUUUCUCUUUAUCUCCAUGUUUUUAAUACCAAAAUCACACCCCAUCUUUUCAAUAUGAAAAGAAAAACAUAAAGAAAAAGAAAUUAUACCUCAUGAUCACUACCAGCAACGAAUAAACAAACCGAAAAGCUUACUAAUUAACCGGGAAAACCAACAUAGAACCCCCUCCCCCCAUCAAGAAAACCUACUUAAAAUUAGAAAAAAAGCACGAAAACAAUCGGGGAAAAAAAGACGACGACGCUACGAUUCCGGUAAAAUCGAAACCAACCACGAUCGCCCCGAAUCGGGGCUGUAACUUUUACUAAAAAUAGCACCACCCGAUUACAGCGCCCGAUUCGAGGCGCGGGAUCAUCGGGUGAGAGCCCGAGAACACAUAUUACACGAAUCUAGGGGGGGAGAGGAGAGAUGACCUUCGAGCGCGCUAUUCUCGUCGCGGAUAACACUAUUCCGAGGAGUUGUUCGUCUCCGAUUAGGGUUUUGGGGGGCGAUCGGGGAUUCGGCGAUCGCGCGAUCGAGCGAAGAACACAAAGGGCGAAGUAUAGAGCGAGCGAGAGAGAGAGAGAGAGAGAGAGAGUAUGAGACGAUGGGGAUUGUGCACGGGUAGGUGGGGGAGAGGGUGGGGAUUGUGCGGAGUGGGAGAUGGAGGGGAAUAUUAAAAAAAACAAAUAAUAAAAUAAUAAUAAAUAAAAAAGGGGAAAAGAGAGUGGGGAGGAGAGAGAAUAUGCGGAUGCUCUGAGGAUUCUUUGAUGCGGCUUCUUUCGGAAACGGGAAACGCGAAGCGCGCAGGGGGAAACGGGAAAAAGGGGGAAAAUGGGAAGUGAUACACGGAAAUGGGACGUUAAUUGUUCCGGAAACUAUUACCUGCACCAGGUGUAUAUUCACACUCCAUGCACCAUGCUUACUAAUAAUAAUUGAUAAUUAAGUUUUGGAAAUUAAAAUGUAGCUUGAUAAAUAUGAUCCGAUAUUUACAAAGCCAACAUAUAAAAAAACAAAUCAUAUAUUUAAGAAACUUAAAAACUUAAUAUCUAAGCAUCAAUCAGCUUUAAAGAAUAAUGAUUGAAAGAUGACUGUUGCUUGGUUUAUAAAAAUUUGGUAUUUAAAAUUUAUUUUUUGAUAAGCAUGUCUUGUAAAUUGUAUGAAACUUACUCAACAAGCAAGAUUUUAAUUUUGAGGAUCCUUAAAGAAAAAGAAAAAAAAAUUUAACUAUUCUAUCAUAGAGAAAUAAAUAUGUGAUUUGUUAAACAUGCUUAUUUACCUAAUGUAGACACUUUCUUAGAAGAGAGGUGUUGAAAUUAUGUUGAUGGUUAAUAUUGUAUGUGUUUUAUUAUACUUAGUUAUUACUGAUAAACAAAUGCUUUGGAUUCUUUAAAAAAAUAUUAAUAUAUUAUUAAACGCAUACGAUACUUUUGAAGAAUGUAUAUUCAUCACACAAAAAUCUAUGCAUCAAAAAUGCCUACACAUUAACUAUAUAUGAAUAAAAUUUUAAAGUAUCAAUGCUUUUAAUCGAUGUAUUGAUAUUUAUGAUGGAGAAAUGAAAGUUUUUAUUCGUUCAUAUACAUAAUUUAAGGUAUUAUAUUAAUUUAUGAACAAAUCAGUAAUACAUAACAAAUUAUUUAUGGAAAAAUCAAAGCAUUCAUACUUUUAAAAGAAGGAAUCAUAUAUUAUCACAUGCACCUGAUCACAUGGACACUUCAUUCGAUGUACGUAAUUUAAAAUUAAAAUUUAGUUCAGUAGAUGUGAAUUAAAAAAUUGGAACAAUAAAAAACAUACAUUUUGAAAAUCUUUUAUGUAAAUGUUAGAUAAUCUCAAAAAUGAAAAACAUGUAACAAAUUAAUGCUUAUUAUUCAUAUUCAUAAUUUUUUUUAUUUGUAGAUCUUCUAAAUUUUAUAGAAUAAUUAAAUAUAUUUAACAAGUUAAACAUAGAUUUUUGAUAACUUUAUUCUAGCCUUGUAGGUGCGGUGUAUGAUGCACACUCAUACACCGGGUACCGCGGAUAAUUUGAGAACGAGAACGGGACCCGGUGAUUAGGGACUGGUAGCCGCAUAAAUUUUCCAUGCGGAAGCGUUUCGGUGUGGAUUAGACGUGGGUGUUUAAACUGGAAAAGUGGUUUGGCGCGUCACGUGUGCGCGAGUUCGGUAGGUCGCAUGCGGAGGCGACGGUCGUGGGAAAGAGUAAAGGGCGCAUAGAACCGUUUGUGCGCCUGAUCCCAAAUUUACAAGCAGCUUUGAAAUGGAAAAUGCUGUAUUUUCUUUCUUUUUUUUUUGAGAGAGAGAGAUAGGUUGCACCCUAUCCGUUUCGUUUAUUUUAUUCAGAAAUAAAUUUAGCUGAAAAUGUGAAAAAAUUAGGAUUAGAAUUUGAGUCUCGGGUACCAACAAUCAAGUCCUUUGCCACUUGCUUUAGAUACGAUCGAUAAAAAUGCUGUAUUUUCGAAACAACAAUUGCCAUGCUAAGAAUUUAAAAUGGAAAAAUCUAGUUGUACACCCAAAAGUGGGUGUACAUUUUACUUUUCAUUUAUUCAUAAAUAAAAAUUAUUCAUCAGUCACAUCAUGUAACUAAUAAAAAAAAAUCACCAUUCGAUGGGAUGGGAUGGGUGUAAAUUUUAUACCCAUUUUAGAUUAAUUACACAUAAUUCUAUAUAAAUAUAGUAAAUUAUAAAUAUAUUUUUAUAAAAUUUAAUUUUCUUAUGUUAUUCUACAUAAAUCUUAAUAUUUUUAAAUAUGGUUCUGUCGUUAGGAUCUGUAAGAAAAAAUUUAGUUAACCAUAAGUGAAAUACUUAAUCUUGGUUAAUUAAUGAGGUAAAUUGAUAUUUUUAUCUCUUUUAUAAUAUAUUUUCUCCUCUCAAUCAAAAUCCUAACAAUGAAAACUCUUUUUUUUCUUCUUUCUCUUCUUCUCUCUCCUUCGUGCUAGUUUUCAAUUCGUAACUAGAAUUUCUCCGUCCAUAUUCAUCCGUAAUGUAUGUUGUUUUGCUCGUGUCGAACACGUGUUGUUUUUUCAUAUAAUUUUCUCUAUAAUUUUUUCUUAUUUUGCUCAAAAGAAAAGAUUUAAAAAAAAACAGUGAGAGAAAAGGUUACAAUAAUGGUGGAUUGGAUUAAAUUUUAAAAAGAAAAAAAGAUGACCUUUGAAAAUUUUUUGAAAGGACAUUCUACACGAUUAUAGCAGUUGGGGUUUUUUGAGAGACAUAUUCGUGAUGCCAAAAUUGACAUUUUACUAUCUGUUAUUAAAAAAUAAACAGUUCUCUAACAGUAACAAAUCAGAAGGACAAUAUGACUAUCACGAGACUUUGUAAGAAUAACAUAAGAAACUUGAACUGUUUAUGAAUAUUUACAAUUUGCUAUAUUUAUAGAGAGCUAUAUGCAAUUAACUCUAAAAUAAAAUAAAAAAUUUGUUGCAUAUAUACAGUAUCAAAAAAUAUAUAUAAUUUAUACAUGGAGAACAUCACAAAUUAAAUAUACGUUUGCACUUAUAUACUAAUUAAAAAUUUGUUGCAUAGUUUUAUAAUGUACGUGCACGAAAUACAAUUAAUAUAACAUAACAAGAGUAGCUCUAACUGAGAAUAUAAUUUGUCACACUAUCAUUGCUAUAGUACAUUGUGGAUAAUUUUUUAGAUGAAAGAGGUUUCACAAACUUAGGAUUCAAGAAACAAAAAUUGCAACACUAAUGACUAAUGAAAGUAGUAAUAACUAUAAUUACUAUCAUAACUACAUUAUACUCACCAUUAAUGACUAGUUAUAUAUUGCACGUACUGCAUAGGAAUUAUUUAAAACUACCAAGUAACCCGUACGAUGCAUGGAUCUUAAUUUUAUAUUUUUUAUUAUCUUCUUCCUCUUCCUCUUCCUCUUCAUCUCUUUCCUUCAUACUAGUUUCAAAUCCAUCUCCAUUAAUCCAUGAUCGGUGUUGCUUUGCCCAUAUCAAACAUAUUGCUUUUUCAUUCAAUUUUAUCUAUAAUUUUAUUUUUGCUCAAAAUAAAAUAUUUAAAAGAAAAUGAGUGAGAAAAAAAAUUGCAACAAUGAUGGAAUGGAUUGGAUUCUAAAAAGAAAGAAGAUAAGGAAGGAGAUAACUAUUAAAUUUUUUUUGGGGGGAUAUUUAUGCGUGAUUAUAACUGUUGUGCCUUUUACAGAAAUAUAUUUGUGAUGGUAAAAAUAUUAUUUCACUUGCUAUUAAAAAACAAACAGUGCUUUAACAGUAAUAAAUCAGAAAGACAUAUAUAAAAAUAUCAUGACUUUUGUAGGAACAACAUAUAAAAGUUGAAUUUUAUAAAAAAUUAUUUAUAAUUUAUUAUAUUGGGUUAAAUGCAUACAGGUCCCUACAAACAUAGUCAAUUGCAGAAAUAUCCCUGCAAAACGGAAACUCCAUAAGUUAUCCCUGCAAAAGUCUAAAGUUAUGCAGAUAUGUCCCUGCCGUUAAGGACUGUUAGAAAAUUUUCAUUAACCACGGUUAAAGUACUUAACCAUGGUUAUAUAUAAGGUAAAUUUACGAUCCUACCCUUCUUCUUCUUCCUCAUCUUCUUCUUCCCUCUUCUUCGUCGCCGGCGAGGGCGGCGGCGGCAGCGACGGCGGCGGCGACGGCGGCGACGGCGAACCCUCUCACUUUCUUUUCCUCCUUCUUCCUCUCCCUCUUCCCUUUUCUCCCUUCUUCUUCCUCUCCCUUUUCCUCUUCCCUCUUCUUCAUCGCCGGCGAGGGAGAAGAUGCGACGGCGGCGGCGAACCCUCUCCCUCUCCCUCUUCUUCUUCCUCUCCCUCUUUCUUUUCCUCUUCCUCUUCCUCUUCCCUCUUCUUCGUCGCCGGCGAGGGAGGAGAUGCGGCGGCGGCGCGCGGCGACGAACCCUUUCCCUCUUCAUCUUUCUCUUCCCUCUUCCUCUCCCUCUUCCUCUCCUUCUUCCUCUUCCCUUUUUUUCUUCCUCUCAUUCUUUCUCUUCCCUCUUCUUUGUCGCCGGCGAGCUCGACCUGCGCCGUCGCCGCCAUCCGCUCCGGCGGCCCGAAGAGGAAGAGGAAGAGAAAGAAAGGGGGAAGAUGCUUUUGGAGGGAUAUAUUUGUGAGGGCAAAAUGGUCAUUUCACAUGAAAACUGUUAAAAAAUAAACAGUUCUCUAACAAAUGUUAAUCAGAGGGACAUAUCUGCAUAAAUUAGGACUUUUGCAGGGACAGCUUAUGGAGUUUCCGUUUUGCAGGGAUAUUUCCACAAUUCACUAUGUUUGCAGGGACGUGUAUGCAAAUAACCCUAUUAUAUUUACAGGAAUCUAUAUGAAAUUAACCAUAAAAAAAACACGUGGGUGGAUAUUGGAACUGUCGUGAGUUUAAUAAGAGUUCGAGUUUUGCAACGAUCCGACCUGCUAGCAACAAUAACUCGUUGGGCCCAAACAUCGAUCAAUACAAUAUAUGAAAGCUUAAUUUUUAAAGCUUAAUUUUUAAUUUUAUAAAAAAUUUUGUCCCACUAAAUUCGUUGGUGUAACAAUUUGUCCCGCAUAGCACUUAGCUCUCACACUUCCGGCUGAUAUUCGGCUCUAAUAUCACAAUUGCAACGACCUGACCCACAAGCUACAAUAACUCGUUGGGCCAAAACUACCGGCCCAAAAUACUUAAGCCUAAUUAUUAUUACUAGCGUGUAGGUCUCAUAUAAACUGAUCGAAAUCAGUAUCCCAUCUGAUGUGGGACUAUUGGGAUGUUACAAGUUUCAAAUAAAAAGACUAUAUGUAGCAACAAUGAAAAUGCAUAAUAGAUGAGUACAUAAUAUUUAUCCAUGGUUGGUAAUUUAUCCAUGAUCAGAAUUACCAAUAAUCUAUUACUCUAUAUGAAUUCCCAAUAAUUUUGCCACGUGGCAAGUUUUUCUCCACCCUCACUAAUUUUUUUUUGAAUUGAUUUUUAUUCUUGGCUUUUCCACUCCCCUCCUCUCUAUUCAAUGACAUGUAAUCAAUGUGUUUUUUAAUUUAUACGUUUCCUCUUCAAAAUUACUUUUUUUGAAUUGAUUCUUACUCUUGGCUUUUCUCCUCCCCUCCUUUCUAUUCAAUGAUAUAUAAUCAAUGUGCUUUUUAAUUUAUACAUUUUCUCUUCACAAUUAGUCCUUUUUUCUCCCACAAACAAUUCCUAACAUGCAAAAUUAGAAAAGAGGAAGAUGAAUAGUUACUAUUUUCAGAUCUAGAGAUUGGGGAAGAGUAAGAGAGUCUUCCAAGCUCUAAUCUGUGUCAAUCCGACUCGACCCGAACCCCCCUCCGAGUCAAAAAGUGUUUAUAGAGUUUUUAUCAAUGUCGAUCUCUUCGGAUUUAUGGAAAAAGAAGGUAAUCGAACGGUUUUUCAAUAGAGAAAGCUAAUUGGAGAGCAAUAAUGGACGGUUCGAGGGGUAGGUUUGAAAAACGAAAAUCCUAAACCUAAUUUUUCUUUUCUUUAUUUUAAUCUCGAAUUCUUACUACGUAUUCAUUUAGAAUUUAAUUUAUUUGCAUUAUUUUUGAUAUGGUGAUUGUAUCAAUUAAGGAUUUGAUUUAUAUGCAUUAUUUUGAUUAAUUUAGAGGUUAUUUUUUAUUUCAUAAUUGAUGUGGCAGUUUUGACCCGCAACUUUUGAUCAUUCCAUACUCAAAAUGGUGCAAAAUUCUACAAAUUUUUAUUAGAUUUUCAUCGUCAUCAUCGUCACCAUCGCAACAUUAUUAUCUCCAUCUUCAUACGACCUUUGUAGGUUUUUUUUUUGAAUGUUGAUUCUGGACAGUUAUCGAUUUUCAGUAGCCAUAUUGGUUAGUUCAAUUCAUACGUUUUCCUACCCAAAAAAUAAAACACACUUGAAUUUUUUUUCUAUUAUUUAUCCGCGGCAUCGCGCGGGUUACUGUACUAGUAAAUAUUAUCAUCCUAAGUUUGUAAAAAUUAUUAAAAAGUGCCUUUUUUCCAUAUUAGAUUAUCAUAAUAAUAUUGAUACGAAUUCCUCAUCUUGAUAUGUUAUUGUAGAGCUAACUUCAGUAACAUAAUUUUAACAAGAAAAAUGCAAAAUGUACAUCAUAUAUAUAUAUAUAUAUAUAUUAUAUUAUAUAUAUAUAAUAUGUAAAUCUUACACAAGUCUAAAUGUUCACAAAAUUUUAUUAAACUUUGAUUAUUUUUUUUAUAAGAUUAGUAAAUUAAACCUAUCCUCAAGAAGAAUAUACACUUUAAGAUUUGUACGGAUAAUAUAAGUAUACCGGUAAUAUUGCUCUUUGAACAAAAGUUAAUAAAAAAAUACGGAAAUUGUGUAGGUAGGGGUAGUUGAAAAGGGUCGUAGCAACAUGAGACUUUACCUAACACUGCUACUGAUGUUGCUUGGUGAGCAAGGAGUACAUGCAUAAUAAGCCCACAUUAAACUGUCCUUUUGUGCUGUAACUUUUUAUUAAAAAAGACUCCCAAGUCCCAACAUCUAUCUAUGCCAAUAUAUGAAAGCUUAAGUUUUAAUUGUGAUAUGGAAAUCUCUUCUUAUUCUGGGCUAAGUGGGACCCAUUUUCAACCAAAAUCAUACACACACACACACACACAUAUAUAUAUAUAUAUAUAGAGUCCGACUGCUAUGCUAUCGAUAGCACCAAGUAGUUGGUACUAUCAAAUUUUCUGCCGUUAAAUUAACCCCUUUAAUUAUUUUUACCCGUUAGAUUAACCCCUUUAGUGCUAUCAAGUAGUUGCUGCUAUUAAUAAUCCAGCAUAGUUCUCUCUCUCUCUCUCUCUCUAUAUAUAUAUAUAUAGAGUUUUGCUAGAAUACUAUAGGUAGUAAACGGCUUGGUUAACUACCGAUUUGUUUUCGAUGAUAGAGCUUCCAAAUAGAUGAUCGGCACCGUUAAACAUGAUCUAAACUAUUUAAACUAUCUGAAAAUUAAAUUUUACACAUUUUCGAUAUUGUUCUCUUGUCCAUCAAGUGAACAGAAAAAUGAAUGGCUGGAAAUGAAUAUCGUUCAAAAAAUGAUGAUACAAUUUUUAUAAUUGAGAUCUAGAGCUUAUUUUAAAUAGUUUAAAGAAUUUUUUAACAAAAAUUUAGUUGAUUUGAACUCUUCUAUACCGUUAAACGAGCAAACGCACAAUAUCGUCCAUUAAAAUUAUAGAUUUUGUGACCCUUUGAUCAUUCAGUUAGUGAUGUCAAAAAAUCAUGAAAUUUGAUUUCUAGAUAAUUUAAAUAGUCUAAAUCAUGUUCAACGGUACCGAUCGUCGAUUUGGAAGCUCUAUCAUAAAAAAUAAAUCGGUAGUAAACCGAGCAGUUUACUAUCGAUAGUAAUCCAGUCAAACUCUAUAUAUAUAAGGGCGCAAAUAAUAAUUUCUAAUUUUGAACUGCAUCUAUAACAUUACACUCUUUUCCAACGGUAUAGAAGAAAUUAACUUCUCUUUUUUUUUUUAUGUUUUCUUUUUUACAAAUAAGCCUUUCCUUAGAGUUAGAGUUCACCCAAGUAUUGAUCUGGAACAGUAAUGCCUUGUGCAUUUCAAGCUCAGAAUUCUCAGGAAAGAAAAUAAAAAUCAUCUAAGUUCUUUUGGUAAUAUGUUAAUUUACUUUGGAAAAAACAAUGUUUACGGUAUAACAAAAAAACGCAUAUUUUGACCUUCAAAAGAAGAAGCUGUAGAUUGAAACUAUUGUUGAUGUAUCUAGAAUUAAAUGUAUUAAUAAUUGUUUCUCCAAACAAUACGAUUUAGUAACACUUUAUCAAACAAUAUUGUACUCUACAAUUAAGUGCCGUUAGAUAAUGUGCUAUUUGCUAUCCAACGUUUAAAUACUAUUAUUAAAAGAGACCCCACAUUUAUAUAUAAAAUCUACCUUUUCUUCUCCGGCCAAGGAUUUUGGUGUUUAUUAACAUAAGUCGUAUCUAUCGUGUCGUAUCGUGCUAAUAAGAUAUCAGUAUAAUACAGCCUNUUUGAGAGAUAGAUAGCACGUUAUCCGCUUCGUUUAUUACAUUUAGAAAUAAACUUAGCUAGAAAUGUAAAUUAACUAGGAUUCGAACUUGGGUUUCGAAUACCAACCACCAAGCCUUUUGCCAAUUGCUCUAGGGAUGGUUGGUGUAUAUGCGCAUAUUUCACUCAGAAGAUGUUUCAAUCUCAAUCACAUGGUUCGAAAGCAAAGAUUCUUUAAUGGCCACUCUAAACAGUAAUAAACACUGCCAUGGUUAUGUAUUUUGGAAUGUAACACAAAAUAUUAUCUAGCUUGAUAAUAAAUUUUCGAUCCGUAAACAAACUUAUAUAUAUAUAGUCAUGGUUCUCUAUUAAUAACUCUAAUGAUAGUAUUCCUCCAAAUCGACAAUCGGUACCAUUGAAAAUGAUCUAUACUACUUGAAGUAUCUAGAAAUCAAAUUUCAUACUUUUUCGAAAUUGUUCUCUUGUUCAUCAAGUGGGCGUAAAUUAAAAUGAACGACUGAAAAUGAAUAUUCUCUAAAAAAUGAUGAUAGGAAUUUUGUAAUCGAGAUCGAGAGUAUAGAUCUUGUUUUAAAUAGUUUAAAGAAUUUUCUAACAAAAAUUUAAUUAAUUUGGAUAGCUUUACACCGUUAAACGAAAAAACGUCUCAUAUCGACCAUUAAAAUUACAAAUUUUGAAACGCUUUGAUCAUUAGGUCAAUGAUGUCGAAAUGAUUUGAAAUUUGAUUUCUAAAUAUUUCAAGUGAUAUAGAUCAUGUUCAACGGUGCCGAUCGCCGAUUUGAAGGCUCCAUCAUCGAAAACAAAUGGAUGGCAAUGGAGCCCGUUUGCUAUCGAUAGCAUUACAGUUCAACUAUAUAUUUAAAGAAUUAUGCUACUAUACUAUCUAUAGUACCGGAGCUUUGGUACUAUAGUUUUAUUUUCGAUCUUAGGGUGUUCAAAUUAAUGAUCCACACCGGUAAAUAUGAUCUAGGGUAUAUGAAGUUCUUAGGAAUAAAAUUUAAGUUUUUUUCGAUAUCGUUUACUUAGUAAAUAAAUUAUAUCAAAAUGGACCCUCNNNNNNNNNNNNNNNNNNNNNNNNNNNNNNNNNNNNNNNNNNNNNNNNNNNNNNNNNNNNNNNNNNNNNNNNNNNNNNNNNNNNNNNNNNNNNNNNNNNNNNNNNNNNNNNNNNNNNNNNNNNNNNNNNNNNNNNNNNNNNNNNNNNNNNNNNNNNNNNNNNNNNNNNNNNNNNNNNNNNNNNNNNNNNNNNNNNNNNNNNNNNNNNNNNNNNNNNNNNNNNNNNNNNNNNNNNNNNNNNNNNNNNNNNNNNNNNNNNNNNNNNNNNNNNNNNNNNNNNNNNNNNNNNNNNNNNNNNNNNNNNNNNNNNNNNNNNNNNNNNNNNNNNNNNNNNNNNNNNNNNNNNNNNNNNNNNNNNNNNNNNNNNNNNNNNNNNNNNNNNNNNNNNNNNNNNNNNNNNNNNNNNNNNNNNNNNNNNNNNNNNNNNNNNNNNNNNNNNNNNNNNNNNNNNNNNNNNNNNNNNNNNNNNNNNNNNNNNNNNNNNNNNNNNNNNNNNNNNNNNNNNNNNNNNNNNNNNNNNNNNNNNNNNNNNNNNNNNNNNNNNNNNNNNNNNNNNNNNNNNNNNNNNNNNNNNNNNNNNNNNNNNNNNNNNNNNNNNNNNNNNNNNNNNNNNNNNNNNNNNNNNNNNNNNNNNNNNNNNNNNNNNNNNNNNNNNNNNNNNNNNNNNNNNNNNNNNNNNNNNNNNNNNNNNNNNNNNNNNNNNNNNNNNNNNNNNNNNNNNNNNNNNNNNNNNNNNNNNNNNNNNNNNNNNNNNNNNNNNNNNNNNNNNNNNNNNNNNNNNNNNNNNNNNNNNNNNNNNNNNNNNNNNNNNNNNNNNNNNNNNNNNNNNNNNNNNNNNNNNNNNNNNNNNNNNNNNNNNNNNNNNNNNNNNNNNNNNNNNNNNNNNNNNNNNNNNNNNNNNNNNNNNNNNNNNNNNNNNNNNNNNNNNNNNNNNNNNNNNNNNNNNNNNNNNNNNNNNNNNNNNNNNNNNNNNNNNNNNNNNNNNNNNNNNNNNNNNNNNNNNNNNNNNNNNNNNNNNNNNNNNNNNNNNNNNNNNNNNNNNNNNNNNNNNNNNNNNNNNNNNNNNNNNNNNNNNNNNNNNNNNNNNNNNNNNNNNNNNNNNNNNNNNNNNNNNNNNNNNNNNNNNNNNNNNNNNNNNNNNNNNNNNNNNNNNNNNNNNNNNNNNNNNNNNNNNNNNNNNNNNNNNNNNNNNNNNNNNNNNNNNNNNNNNNNNNNNNNNNNNNNNNNNNNNNNNNNNNNNNNNNNNNNNNNNNNNNNNNNNNNNNNNNNNNNNNNNNNNNNNNNNNNNNNNNNNNNNNNNNNNNNNNNNNNNNNNNNNNNNNNNNNNNNNNNNNNNNNNNNNNNNNNNNNNNNNNNNNNNNNNNNNNNNNNNNNNNNNNNNNNNNNNNNNNNNNNNNNNNNNNNNNNNNNNNNNNNNNNNNNNNNNNNNNNNNNNNNNNNNNNNNNNNNNNNNNNNNNNNNNNNNNNNNNNNNNNNNNNNNNNNNNNNNNNNNNNNNNNNNNNNNNNNNNNNNNNNNNNNNNNNNNNNNNNNNNNNNNNNNNNNNNNNNNNNNNNNNNNNNNNNNNNNNNNNNNNNNNNNNNNNNNNNNNNNNNNNNNNNNNNNNNNNNNNNNNNNNNNNNNNNNNNNNNNNNNNNNNNNNNNNNNNNNNNNNNNNNNNNNNNNNNNNNNNNNNNNNNNNNNNNNNNNNNNNNNNNNNNNNNNNNNNNNNNNNNNNNNNNNNNNNNNNNNNNNNNNNNNNNNNNNNNNNNNNNNNNNNNNNNACUUUAUCACUUUAGUAUCCUGUGGUUUAAAGUGUAUCAAGUUAGUACCCUGUGGUUUUGCACUUUAUCACUUUAGUACCCUGUGGUUUCACACUUUAUCACUUUAGUACCCUGUGAUUUAAAAAACCACAGGGUACUAACUUGAUACAAAUUAAAACCACAGGGUACUAAAGUGAUAAAGUACAAAACCACAGGGUACUAACUUGAUACACUUUAAACCACAGGGUACUAAAGUGAUAAAGUGAGAAACCACAGGGUACUAACUUGAUACAUUUUAAACCACAGGGUACUAAAGUGAAAAAAAUUGAAACCACAAGGGGGGUUUUUGAAGUUUUUUCUAAUAAUAAUAAGGGUACGUCUGCUUGAAAUUAUUAUAAAGUAUAAUUAUAUAUUAUGGUAUACGCUUUGUAAACUCUAGUAUUACUACAAUAAGCAAAUUCAAAGAUCUAAAGAUUUGAGCUCUUUCUAUAUAUUAAUUUACAAUAAAUUCGUAGUAUUUUUGGAAUAUUUUUGUUAUUUUUGAUACCCCAAAAAACAUCCAAAAAUUCUCCUGUAAAUAUAAACACUGUUUCAUAUAAUACAACAAAAAUACUUCAAUAAUAUUACAAAAUUACAUAGCAUUAUAAUAGGUCCUAACUAUAGAGGGUACUAUAUUUUUUUGUAUGAUAAAAUUACUCGCAUAUAGAAUUGUAGACCGAGGACUAUUUCCAAUCACGUACGCUUGAUUCUAAGUAAGAUUAAAUUUGCUCGAUCCAACCAGAAAAUUUUACAGUUAUUUUAGGUCAAGACCUUGUCCAAAUAAUCGACCAGGCUCAACCGGCCCAAGUUCGACGAUAACAAAAAAAAAAAAAAAAAAUCACAAAAUGCGUCAAACCAACCAAAUAAUCUAAAAACUUGGAUUCUACCAAAAUUUUAUCAGCCUCUAUUGGGCUAAAAUUUGCUUAGGUCUACUUGCAUGCACGAAUUUGAUGAUGAUAUUGGAAUAUCUUAAAGCAGUUAUUAUUAUUAUUAUUAUUAUAUAUUAAAAAAAAAAUCUUAUACUACCACGUUUUGUCAUAGCCCUCGAUAACACCAUCCCAUUCAACGUGUGACAUAUGAACUUUUUCACGCCUUGCAAAGUACGUAGUUUGAUUAAUACCGAAGAAAAAACGGCGUAAAAAAAUGGUUUUUAUUUUUUAGGAUCUAGCUAUGUUUUGUUAACUUGUUGGAGUUAACCAUUGACAACUAACACUACGAUAUACUACGGCAUUGGAAGGAGACAAAUCACUUCGACGCUAUAACAUGCCCUUGAAUUUAAAACUAUACAUAUAUAUAUAUAUAUAUAUAUAUAUAUAUGCUCCACAACAGCAACAACAACAACAACAACAAUAAUAAUAAUAAUAAUAAUUAUUAUUAUUAUUAUUAUAAUCAUAAUCUUAUGUUACUAUGUUGCUGUUGAUUGAACUCAGUUGUUUGCGAACAAAUCAUAUUUAACUUGAAACUUGGCUUGAUUAAAGAAUAAAAAAAAUAGAGUUGAGCUUAAGAUAAUCCAAGCAAAUUUGUGCUCAGCUUUGUUAGGUUCAAGGAGGAAAUAUUUGUCGGUACCAGUUUAUUCUAGUUCGUGCGGAAAAGACGAUACUUGAUGAUGUACUAUGCUGAAUAUUGAGUUUAGUUAUGUAACAUAUGGUAAAUUAAGCUCAAAGAGAUGACGGUUGUUUUAUAUAACUUAACACUGAUUCAGCUAUUAUAUUACGAAAUGAUUUGUCUCGUGCUCGGCUUGAUUAUGCUAGGUCAGGUUUGGUUUUACCUUAGUUUGCUUGUGUCUGACUCGUUUAGACUCGUAUUCAUGAGAGAAGACACCGCUGUUUUUCCGUCGCCCGGCCCAUCUUGCUUGGUCCAAAUGGCUAGAUUUAGCCAUUUGGUUCGAGCCAAACAUACUAAGGCCCAAAAUUAGACACAAUUUGAUUCGGCUUUUCCUCGAGUCUAGUCUCGGCGAAAAAUAAAAAUACCUUGUGACUUUUGGGGGCUUGCAAAGGCAUACUAUAAGGUUGGACUACUUCAACAUGUAAAAAUGAGCUAAUUUAAAUAAUGUUAAAUUAGCUUUUUUUUUUUUUUCUUUUUUACUGAUCGUUCUUAGAGCAAAUGACAAAGAGUUUGAUGGUUGGUACCCGAGGUCCUAAAUUCGAAUCCUAGUUGAUUCACAUUUUCAGCUAAAUUUAUUUCUAAAUAAAAUAGAUGAAGCGGAUAGCGUGCUGCCUAUCUCUAAAAAAAAAAAAAAAAAUUUGGGUUAGAAACAAAUAAGCUGGAGUAAUACAAUAAUAAGGCAAAUAGGAACUAGUGCGGAUAAGAUAAAACCCGAAUUAAUCGUACCAAGGCGAUAAGGUUUUUUUCUUCUUAAAUUAGAUUAACACAACGACAAAGCAUGGACAAGGUCAACAAAUAAAAUUAGUCAAUUUUGAAAUAGUUAAAGCUACCAUUCUUUUUAUUUUUUCGAAAAAAUUAGAGUCACACAAUGACAAGGCAAACAUUAAGAAAAUAUCGAUUUUCUUUGUAAUUGCUUAAACAAUACCAUUCAUAUCUACUAAAUCCAAUGAACUCGGAAACAAUUCUAAGAAAUAAUGAACUGAUAAAUUAUAUCACCUUACAUCUGUCCGCUGAUCAAUAUCUUAUACAAGUUCAAAGUUUAAGAUUUAAUUCGAUAAGUGUGAUAUAGAACAUCUAAAAUAUUUACGUAGGAAUCAAGUAGUAUCAAAAAUCGAUUAUGUUGAAAGAGAUAUCGUACGACUCAUAAGAGAUUAGUUAGCAUCCAAAAAUUGUAACUUUUUAUGUACAAGCCUUUGUUUAUGAGUAUUUUUUUAUAGCAUUUGGUUUUUUAAUACACAAAAUGGGGAAAAAGUCUACAUCUUAACGGACAAAUUUUGUGGGUGCCCAUCUCGACCGUCCUUUCUCUCAUCUGUAUCUUUCUGUCUCUUUCUAAAAAUUCAGGGCCCACAAUUUUUUGUUUUCAUUUCCGAGGGUCGCAAUGGGCGCUUGUACAUUACGCGGUGUCCAUCAUCGUCCCCAAAUAAGUUGUUUGGAAAUGAUGUCUAUAAAAUUUGUGUCUGUCGUCAUUAUUAAGAGUGAAUCUCGAGGCUCCUUUGGAACAAUUAAGAUUUGCUAUUGCAUGUUGAAAUAAUUAUAAGAAAUUCUUAUAAUUUUAAUACUAAUUUAUUAUUCAGUAGUUUUUCGUUGAGAUUGAGUUAUUAUCUAAGUAUAAAAAUUUGUCACUUUAUAAAAAAAAAGUAAUUAAUGAAUGGUGCUGUACAAACGCGUCCGCAUACGAGCGCAUAGUAUAUAACCAAUCGAAUUCUAAAUUUCUGCGACCGCGCGGGCCCCACCACAUUUCCAACAUUAUUCCGGUGCCACACACAUUUGAAUCAACCCAUUAUUAUUUUAUUAUUAUUAUUAUUAUUAAUCCAAUAAAUUACACCCCUGAACCUUUAUACAAAGCUCAUUAGAGUCUCCUCUUCGUUUUCCUCCUCUUCCUCUUUUACCCGAUCAUUCCCGUCCCUGAAACCCUAGAUCCUUCCCCCCCGAUUCCUAGGGUUUUCUUUCUAACACUUCGACGAUGUCCCUUUCUCCUCGUCCUACUCCAUUAUAGCGUCUCCGUCUCCCUCCUCUCCGGCGGCCGCGGAGAUGGAUCGCUCCGCCGCAUCCGGAGCCGACGCCGCGGCGGAGACCGCCUUGUUGGAGGACUUCGGCCAGAGGGUCGACCUCACGCGGCGGAUCCGCGAGGUGCUGGUCAACUACCCCGAGGGCACCACCGUGCUCAAGGAGCUCAUCCAGAACGCGGACGACGCCGGCGCCACUAGGGUUUGCCUCUGCCUCGACCGCCGCAAGCACGGCGCUGAGUCCCUCCUCUCGCCGAAGCUCGCUCAGUGGCAGGGCCCCGCGCUCGUCGCCUACAACGACGCCGGCUUCACCGACGACGACUUCGUCAGCAUAUCGCGGAUCGGGGAUAGCAAGAAGCAGUCGCAGGCGUGGAAGACGGGGCGUUUCGGGUGAGUCCCUUGAUGCACUUCUCCCAUUUAACUUCUCUGCUUUAGGAAAUGGUUUAAAUUAAAUUAAUUGAUGCGGCCAUGGUUUCCUCCUCAAGAACUUCAGGGUUUGGCUUGUUUAAAAUCAAAUUGCAAACUUAAUUUUGUGACUACUUUUACAUUGCAGGAACAUUUUAAUGAUUGCGUGGAUAAUGGAAGAUAAAGUUGGUUAUAGCACUGUUAUAAGGCUUGGUUGGAAUGGUAGCUUUGGGUUUAUCUUAGAAAAUUUACUUUUUUGUUUUAUUGAGAAUUAGCGGGAUUACUCAAGUUAUUCCGAUGUUCAACCAAACAGUGACUCCUAGGUGCUUUGUGGAGUUUGUGAGCCUCGUCGUUCUGUUUGAAAGAGAAGAAAUUUGACCCACUCUCAUGUUUCAAGAGAACAUUUAACAUAGUUUAGACCGGAUUUGAAUGUGAAGGCAUUAAUUGUAUGCACUUAUCCAUAGAUGUACAUUUUGGUAGUUUAGACAAUAAGGUUGCUAUUUUUCUAUUAGUUCUAGAUCCAAAUUCAAAUUCCAACCUGUUGAUCAAUUAAACCCAUGUUAACAACAAAUAAUUGGUUCCUGUUCAGGUCAUUGUGUUCACAUAUUGCCCCCCCUAGUUACUUCAGAAGCAAGCAGAUACUAUUUUAGCUAUUUCAUAGGUUUUGAGUGGCUUGGACCAUCAACAUAUAGAAACUGUUGUGACUAUUUUGUUGGUUUUGUUCAGCGUGAUCUAAUCUGAAAUUCUUUGCUUUUGUUACUUCUCCUUUCAUAAGGACUCUAUGUUGUGUUAUUUUCUUAUGUUUCCUCUUCUUCUGGUAUAUAUAUUUUUUCAGUUAAAAACACUCCUUUAUUCGUGAAAAGAUAAUUUGAUUUUGCUCAUAAAACAAGUAUUGUUGAUUACUGGGUUUCGGAGGACUUAGUAAGAUUGUUGAAUCUACAUAUGCUACACUUGAUUUCUUGCAUCUAGUAUAUGUCUUUGACUAUUUAGUAUUGUUCUGCCUAUCAUGACUGUUUUCUCUUUUCUUCUGAAUUUGCUAUAUAGGGUUGGUUUUAACUCGGUGUACCACCUGACAGACUUGCCAUCUUUUGUAAGCGGCAAAUAUAUUGUCUUAUUUGAUCCCCAAGGUGCAUACCUUCCCAAUGUUUCUGCUUCAAAUCCGGGGAAACGCCUCGACUUUGUUAACUCUUCAGCUAUUACACUAUAUAGAGAUCAGUUUUUGCCGUAUUGUGCUUUUGGGUGUAACAUGACAGCCCCUUUUUCGGGCACUUUAUUUCGUUUCCCUUUGAGGAGUGCAAAUCAGGCGGCUGUUAGUAGGCUUUCCAGGCAAACAUACUUGGAAGAUGAUAUUCUUUUGCUGUUUUCACAGCUUUAUGAAGAAGCUGUGUUUUCUAUGCUCUUUCUUAAAAGCAUACUCUCAGUUGAAAUGUAUAUAUGGGACGUUGGUAUGAAUGAGCCACGGAAGUUGUACUCUUGCUCUGUCAAGUCACCAAAUGAGAAUACAGUCUGGCAUCGUCAGGCACUUGUUAGGUUCUCUAAUUCUGCUGAAUCUUUAAACUGGCAAACUGAUCCCUUUUCAUUAGAUUUCCUAAGUGAAGCAUCCUUUGGGUCAAAUGUUGAAAAAAGAAUCUGCACAUUCUUCAUAGUACAGGGGAUGGCAUCAGCAUCUAGUAAAAUUGGUUCCUUUGCUUCUGCUGCAGCUAAAGAUCAUGAUCUCCACUUAUUGCCCUGGGCAUCUGUUGCAGCUUGUAUAUCUGAUGGCGAGCCUGAGGUACUGUACACUUACUUUAAAUAGAGAUGUUAUUUGUAUUGCAUCAUAUGUUUUAUGCCAUAGAUGCAAGACCUUACAUUGGAAAGAACAAUGCCAUUCUCUUGAUAAGCAUCAUUUGCUGUCGUAUUCCACGAGUGCAAACUAGAUGUGGAAUGCUCAUAGCAAACUAGAUAAGGAAUUCUGUUUCUUGAUUAUAUGCCUUCCCAAGUGCAAGUGAUUUUUAGUGUUUUUGUUGCAAAUGAAGAUCAACCACGGUAACAGGUGACUUUUAUCUUUUAUCAGAUAGGUUAGUUGAUUUUUCUUUUUCCUUUUCUUUAACUUCGACCAUUAAAGUUGCAUCUGGUUUGGUGUAAUUAAACCUCUUGUGAACAACUCUUUUGUUUUUACCUGUUUGUUCACUUGCAGUAACUUUUACUACAGAACCUGAAAAUUUUCCCUGCUGCAUGAUCCUUUCCACUGUUCAGUCAAUUAUAUAUUAGUUCGCAAAAAAAUCUUUACUAAGUUGUCGAACUAUUCUAAUGCCAUAUUAUUAUGUAUUUCUUUUGAGUUCAUGGUCAGUUUUUUUCCCCAAUAAUUCUUAUUUCUAUUGAAAAUUAAUCUAUGUUGAACUGCCUUGUGGUAAACUGGGUUUUGCAGGGUGCUGUUCUUAAGGAAGGCCAUGCUUUUUGUUUCCUUCCAUUGCCCGUAAAAACAGGAUUGGCUGUGCAAGUGAAUGGUUAUUUCGAAGUUUCUUCCAAUCGGCGAAACAUUUGGUAUGGAGCUGACAUGGACAGGGGUGGAAAACUUCGUUCUGACUGGAAUAGGCUGUUAUUAGAAGAUGCGAUCGCUCCAGCGUUUAUUGAGUUGCUAUUGGGUUUGAGGACGCUAUUGGGGCCCAAUAAACUAUACUAUUCUGUAUGGCCAAGUGGUUCAUUUGAGGAGCCUUGGAGCAUUUUGGUUGAGCAGAUCUACCAAAUUAUUUAUUUAUCGCCUGUUUUAUAUUCUGAUAUUGGAGGCGGAAGGUGGAUAUCACCAUCUGAAGCAUUUAUUCAUGAUGAGGUGUUUUCUGGAAGUAAAGAUCUUUGUGAGGCCCUUAUAUUGUUAGGGAUGCCUGUUGCUUGUCUGCCUAAUGCUAUUUUUGAUAUGUUUUCCAAAUAUAAUAGGAGUACUAGCCUCAGACUAAUUAAUCCUGCUACAGUAAGACAUUUCCUCAAGGGGUGCCAAACUUUGGCAGCAUUAAACAAAUCUUGUAAGCUAGUUUUGUUGGAAUAUUGUCUUAGCGAUUUGGAUGAUGUUGUUGUUGGUAGAUACUUAAAUGGCCUUCCUUUGCUUCCAUUAGCAAAUAAUCAAUUUGGAGUGUUUUCUGAGGUUUCACAGGGAAAUUUUUAUUUCAUCUGCAAUGAACUUGAAUACAAGCUUUUGAGUGCAGUCCCCGACAGAAUAAUCGACCCAAACAUUCCUUCUAAAUUACUAAGUAAACUCUCUGAUGUUGCCCAUUUCUCUAAGGCAAACAUUGCAUUAGUUGAUGGUCAGAUUUUCCUCCAGUUCUUCCCCAGGCUCUUCCCUGCUGAAUGGAAAUAUAAAAAUCAAGUUGAUUGGAAUCCAGAGUUGGGCAGUACAUUUCCAACAACAGCUUGGUUUGAACUUUUUUGGAAGUAUCUGCGAGAACGCUCUUAUGAUCUUGAGUUAUUCAGUGACUGGCCUCUAUUGCCAUCUACUUCAGGGCACCUUCACAGACCUUCCAAAUUAUCUAAGCUGAUUAAUGCAGAAUUAUUAUCUAGCACGAUAGAAGAGCUGCUAGCAAAGAUAGGAUGCAAAAUAUUAAGUACACAGUAUGGAGUUGAGCAUCAGCAAUUGUCCCUCUAUGUAUAUGAUGGUGAUGUUGCUGGUGUUAUUCAUUCAAUUUUUGAGGCUGUUUCUUCAAGUGGUAAUCCCUUGCACUCUCUUUUUCAAUAUAUUGCUCCUGAUGAGAAAAAUGAACUCCGCCAAUUUCUGCUGGAUCCGAAGUGGUACUUGAGAGGCUCUCUUUCUGAUGAUGACAUGAAGAACUGCAAGAAGUUACCUAUUUAUAGGGUUUAUGCUGAAGGGGAUGUCAAUAUUUGUUACUUUUCUGAUUUGGAUACUUUCAAGUUGUACUUGCCACCAUUAGGCAUGCCUGAAUACUUAUUAGAUGGCGAUUUUAUUUUCUGUUCAUCCCAAAGUGAGGAGGAAAUUUUAAUGAGAUAUUUGAAAAUCGAGCGCAUGAAAAGGUCUUCUUUCUACAAGAAGAGUGUUCUUAACAGAGUUGGUGAACUGCAACCAGAAAUUCGUGACGCAGUAAUGUUAACCGUACUGCGAGAGUUGCCUCAGUUAUGCUUGGAGGAUCCACUGUUUAAAGAAUCUUUAAGAGUGCUUAAUUUUGUUCCAACUAUCACUGGCAGCUUGAGGAGUCCUCAAUCUCUCUAUGAUCCUCGUGUGGAAGAACUUUAUGUUCUUCUGCAGGAAUCGGAUUGUUUCCCUUGUGGAUUAUUUCAAGAAUCGGAUGUUCUCGACAUGUUGCUUAGCCUAGGGCUUAGGACAUCAGUACAUCUUGAUACUGUAAUUCAAAGUGCACGCCAGAUUGAAAUGCUGAUGCACAAAGAUCAGUCGAAAGCUAAUUUAAGGGGUAAGGUGCUGCUUGCUUACCUCGAAGUUCAUGCCAACAAAUGGGUUUCUAAUAGACCGAGAGAUGGUCAAAGAAAGGCGAAUGUGAUGUUUGCUAAAGUUACCAUGGCACUACGGACUCGUGACAUUCCUUUAGAAGCUGACCUUGAGAAAUUCUGGAGUAACCUCAGAAUGAUAUGCUGGUGCCCUGUGCUAGUUUCUCCACCUCAUCCUGCUUUGCCAUGGCCUGCAGUUUCAUCAAAGGUGGCCCCACCUAAGCAAGUAAGACUACAUUCAGAUAUGUGGCUUGUUUCUGCUAGCUCGCGUAUUCUUGAUGGUGAUUGCUCUUCUUCUGCCUUGUCAUAUAGCUUGGGCUGGUCAUUUCCUCCAGCUGGAAGUGUAAUUGCCGCUCAACUGCUUGAGCUUGGGAAAAACAAUGAGAUUGUGACAGACCAGGUGCUUCGGCAAGAAUUGGCUCUAGCUAUGCCAAAGAUAUACUCUCUAUUGACAAAUUUGAUUGGUUCAGAUGAGAUGGAUAUUGUGAAGGCUGUCCUUGAAGGGUGCAGAUGGAUUUGGGUGGGAGAUGGAUUUGCAACAGCAGAAGAGGUGGUUCUCACUGGGCACCUCCAUUUGGCUCCUUACAUACGCGUUAUUCCUGUCGAUCUAGCAGUGUUCAGAGAGUUGUUCUUAGAGCUCAGCAUAAAAGAAUAUUUGAAGCCAGCAGAUUAUGCUAAUAUUCUUUCUCGCAUUGCCAUGAGAAAAGGAUCCGCUCCACUUGAUGGUGAAGAACUAAGAACAUCUGUUUUAAUAGUGCAGCAUCUUUCUGACUUCCAGUUUGAGGAUUCACGCGCACAAAUUUAUCUGCCAGACGCCUUAUCCCGACUAUGCCGAUCAACUGACCUUGUCUUCAAUGAUGCUCCGUGGCUACUUGAUUUUGGAGAGAGCACAUAUACAAAGAAGGAUGUUUAUAAUUUUGUACAUGGCCACAUUUCAAAUGAUGUUGCGGAGAAACUAGGCGUACGCUCUCUUCGCCGCCUGCUGCUUGCCGAGAGCUCUGACUCAAUGAACUUGAGUUUGUCUGGUGUUGCUGAAGCCUUUGGACAGCAUGAGGCCUUGACAACUAGACUCAAACACAUUGUUGAAAUGUAUGCAGAUGGCCCAGGGAUUCUUUUUGAGCUCGUACAAAAUGCAGAGGAUGCACAUGCUUCUGAGGUUAUCUUUUUGUUGGACAAAACUCAAUAUGGUACAUCAUCCAUUCUUUCCCCCGAAAUGGCCGAGUGGCAGGGGCCUGCUCUUUACUGCUUUAAUGACUCUGUUUUCAGCUCGCAAGAUCUUUAUGCAAUCUCACGCAUAGGUCAGGACAGCAAGCUCGAAAAACCUUUUGCUAUUGGCCGGUUUGGUCUUGGCUUCAAUUGCGUAUAUCACUUCACGGACAUCCCAGGUUUUGUUUCUGGGGAAAACAUUGUAAUCUUCGAUCCACAUGCCUGUUAUUUGCCGGGAAUAUCUCCUUCUCAUCCAGGCUUGAGGAUAAGAUUUGUUGGGCGGAGGAUCUUAGAACAAUUCCCUGACCAAUUUAGUCCUUUCCUACAAUUUGGCUGUGACCUCCAACAAGCUUUUCCAGGUACCCUGUUUCGGUUCCCUCUCAGGAAUGAAGCUGCCGCUAAUAGAAGUCAAAUAAAGAAGGAGAAAUAUGCACCUGAAGAUGUGGAGUUGCUCUUUUCUUCCUUUUCUGAAGUUGUAUCAGAGGCAUUACUUUUCCUCCGUAAUGUUCAAAAAGUAACAUUAUACGUGAAGGAGGGAUCUGGUCAUGAGAUGCAACUCAUGCACUGUGCGUCAAGGCGCCAUGCUGGUGUGAUCACAAAGGAAUCUCAUGCACAUCAAGCUAUGCUUGAUUUUAUUCGUGGAAGUCGGCAGAAUGGAAUGGAUAGGGCUCAGUUCUUGAACAGAUUGAAUAAGACCUUAGAUAGCGAGUUGCCGUGGAAUUGCCAGAAGGUUGCGAUUGUCGAAGAAACGCCAAUGGCCAGCAUGUUGCAUUCUUGGAUUAUUAGCGACUGUAUUGGUGGUGGACAAGCUAAACGACGAUCUAUAGUAAUGGGUAAUAAGUCACAUAAUUUUGUACCCUGGGCUUGUGUUGCAGCCUACCUGCACUCCGCAUAUAUAAAGGAUGUAAAGGAGCUGGGUGAAACAUUUAGUAGUUCUGGUGAAAUUGUUGAUACCGAUGCAUCUCUAAAAUACCAAGCUCCUAGGAAAAAGUUUGAGGGGCGGGCCUUCUGCUUCCUACCUCUACCAAUUACUACUAGCCUUCCAGCACAUGUUAAUGCAUAUUUCGAAUUGUCGUCAAAUCGAAGAGAUAUCUGGUUCGGAAAUGAUAUGGCUGGUGGUGGGAAAGCACGAUCUGAGUGGAACACUUGCCUGCUUGAAGAUGUUGCUGCUCCUGCUUAUGCUCACCUCCUAUCUGUCAUGGCUGAAGAGAUUGGCCCUUCCGAUCUCUUCUUCUCAUUUUGGCCCACCACUGUAGGUGCUGAACCAUGGGCUUCUAUGGUGCGAAAGCUCUAUAUGUGUAUCGCUGAUCUUGGGCUCCCUGUGCUAUACACAAAAGCUCGAGGCGGGCAAUGGAUCUCAACGAGGCAAGCUAUAUUUCCCGACUUCAGUUUCUCAAUGGCAGCAGAACUUUCAGAAGUUUUGGCUCAAGCUGGUUUGCCUAUCGUCUCUGUAUCAAAGCUCAUUGUUGAUAAGUUUAUGGAAACAUGCCCAUCCUUGCAUUUCCUAAAUCCCAGUCUGCUGAGGAAUUUGUUAAUUCGACGUAAACGUGGGUUUAAAAGCAAGGAAGCAGUCAUCUGUACGUUAGAAUACUGCUUAAGUGAUAUAAAAGAAUCUGGUUUUUCUGAUAAGCUGCAUGGAUUGCCAUUACUUCCUUUGGCAAAUGGAUCCUUAACGGUUAUUAAUAAGUGCGGGGAAGGUGAAAGAAUAUUUUUUACGUCCCAAAUGGAAUAUGAACUUCUCAAGGAUUCUGUUCCGCAUCUUCUCAUAGAUUGUUCUAUACCAGAUGGAAUUCUGAAGAAACUAUCCAACAUAGCAGAUUCUGCGCAGUCAAACAUACAGUUGUUCACUUGUUCAUGCCUUGUUGAUUUGCUCCCUAGGAUUCUGCCGCCUGAAUGGCAGCAAGCUAAGCAGGUUUCCUGGACUCCAGGUCAGCAAGGUCACCCAAGUCUGGAAUGGAUGAAGUUGCUUUGGAGCUAUUUACAAGAUUCCUGCAAGGACCUUUCCAUUCUUAGCAAAUGGCCUAUACUGCCGGUUGGGAAUGACUGCCUCUUGCAACUUGCUGAAAACUCUAAUGUAAUUAGGGAUGAUGGUUGGAGUGAAAACAUGUACUCAUUGUUACAGAAGCUGGGAGUUUUCUUCCUGAGAUCUGAUCUUCCAAUUGAUCACCCCCAGUUGAAGCAUUUUGUUCAGGAUUCGACGGCACCUGGUGUUUUGAAUGCAGUGUGGUCAGUGGCUUCUCAGCUGCAGGAUAUUAAGGAACUAUUUGCCAAUGCCUCAGUGGCAGAGAUGCAUGAACUUCGGAGUUUUAUUUUCCAGUCUAAAUGGUUUUCUGGUAAUCAAAUUGAUUCUUCACAUAUUAACUUGAUCAAGGUUCUUCCAAUAUUUAACUCUUACAAGAGUAGAGAGCUCGUUAGCUUGUCUGAUCCAACGAAAUGGCUUAAACCUGAAGGCAUGCGUGAGGAUCUCUUAAAUGAAAAUUUUGUUAGAACUGAAUCUGAAAAGGAAAAGAACAUUUUACGAUGCUUUUUUGAUAUAAGGGAGCCUACAAAAACCGAAUUUUACAAAGGUCACGUGCUUAACCAUAUGUCAGAGUUUCUUUCGCAGCCAACCAUUCUUUCAUCAAUAUUAUGUGAUGUGAAGCUUUUGAUAGAAGAAGAUGCUUCCAGAAAAGCUGCUCUAUCGGAAAUCCCAUUUGUUUUGGCAGCUAAUGGUUCUUGGCUACAUCCUUCCCGGUGUGUUUCUUAUUUUCUCACACUUUUUGUUGCUUGCUCUUUUUUAUAAUGUGUGAUUUACAGCUAUUAAAUGUUGAUUCAUUGACAAUUAUGUUUGUUUCUCCCCCUUUCUGUUAUUGUACUGAUUUACCUUCUGAUUGCCACCUCAUUCGCCUCAUUGUGAAUUGGAAUAUUUAAGCUGUCGAAAUCCUGCUCUUUUUGCUUGUGUUUCUUUUUUCAAAGACAACUUAUUUUUCAAAGUUUGCAAAUGGAAAGUUGAAAGUUGCUCCUUGCACUGUUUUCGCUAUAAAAUGAUGCUCAGUUUGUUGAUUGGUAUUUAUUCUGUUCUUCAUGGAUCCUAGUGUAGUUUUGAUGUUUCCUCAUCUGCUUUGCCAUCAGUAGCGAAACAAGUUUGGACCUUUUGGAUCCAAGUAUAGUUGCAACCUUAAGUCUGCAUGGUAUAAUUCAUCCAAUUUAAAAGUGUUAGAUUUAAUCAUCCAUCAUCAAGCUGGAAUAGGUCAACAUUCAUGAAAGUAAGGGUCCUGGUAUAUCCUAAUCAACAUAAAACGGUAUUCAUCUGUCAUGAUUAUCUUGUUGGUCUGGACUUCUCCAGCCAUAGUGAUAGCUUUAUUUUAGCAGCUAAUCUGAUUUUUCCCGCUGUUCACCUAACAUUUUUAAUAUAUGUUGUUGACGGAGAAUGUUUUCUUGAGUAAAUUGAGUGUUUGUAUCUUUUUCAGCCUUAGGCAAGUCUAUUGACUGUUUAAGCUGUAAAAAUAUAUUUUGUAUUUUUAGUUUUGUUUUUUCUUCGUUGAUUGGCUAUCAAAAUACUUACUACCAUUAUUUUCAUUUUGGGAAGUCUCUAGUGUACCUAGCAGACCACAGUUAUUGUUUAUUGCUAUUUGUUUUAUAUGCUACAGAGCUUCCCUGUGCUCAGAUUUCGGUUACUCUCUGGUUACUUCCUUUUAAGAACUCUUUAUCUCCAGGCUCUAUGAUCCUCGUGUACCUGAAUUGCGAAGUUUGCUGCACAAAGAACUCUUCUUCCCUUCUGAGAAGUUCAUCGAUGCUGAAAUUCUAGAAUCACUGACAAGUAUGGGGCUCAAAAGGUCCUUGAGUUUUAGUUGUUUACUAGAUAGUGCUAAAUCAGUUUCAAUGAUGCAUGCUUCAGGAGAUAGGGAUGCUUUUAUAUAUGGCCAGAGAUUACUUGUUUAUUUGGAUGCUCUUUCUUUUAAGCUCUCAACCCAUGGCAGACAAAGUAAUGAUGGAGCUGCUAGUUUAAUAAUAAGCAAUUAUGCUAUGGUAUAUGAUGACGAUCUGCAAGCAGAAAACAAUGAAGAUGAUAAUGGCAAUUGGGACGCAGAUGUGCUAUCUUUCCUUUCCCAUUUUGAACAUGAUCUAACCGAAGACGAGUUUUGGUUAGAGAUCAAAACUAUUUGUUGGUGCCCGGCGUAUGUUGCCCCAUUGGUCAAAGGACUUCCAUGGUUAGUAUCAGAAGAUAAAAUAGCACCUCCAAUAAUCACCAGACCUAAAUCCCAGAUGUGGCUAGUGUCGUCUAGAAUGCGUAUUCUUGAUGGCAAUUGCAAAUCUAUGUACCUCCAGCAAAAACUUGAUUGGUUAGAUCCCGCUGAUAUCAGAGUUUAUUCUGCACAAUUAAUUGAACUCUCAAAGUCCUAUAACAACCUCAAGACACAACCUGAACAAGACUGCCCCAUUGACGUCGUGUUGGAAAAAGAGAUCCCUUCAAUGUAUUCGAAAUUGCAAGAAUUUAUUGGUACCAACAAUUUCAAAUUUCUAAAAGAAGAUUUGGAUGGCGUUCCAUGGGUUUAUGUAGGCGACAACUUUGUUCCUCCAAAGGCACUUGCUUUUGACUCACCAGUGAAAUACCAUCCUUAUCUAUAUGUUGUUCCUUCUGAGUUGUCAGAAUUCAGAGCAUUACUUUCAGCAUUGGGUGUAAGAAUGACAUUUGAUGCUUCAGAUUAUCUUAAUGUACUGCAAUGUUUGCAGCGUGACGUGAAAGGAGAGCUGCUAUCUGCUGACCAAUUAACUUUUGUUCACUGCGUACUGGAAGCUUUUGUUGACAGUUAUGCUGGAAAGCAAGUUCCUGAUUUAAUGUUGAAAUCACUGUUAAUUCCUGAUUCUUUAGGAGUUCUAAUGCCUGCUUUGAAUCUUGUUUAUAAUGAUGCCCCAUGGAUGAAAGAUAGCAGUCCAGGUUCGAAACAUUUUGUACACUCAAGUAUCAGUGAUGAUCUAGCUAAAAGGCUCGGAGUACAAUCUCUUGGUGGUUUGACUUUAGUUGAGGAUGAACUGAUGAGGGAUUUACCAUGCAUGAAUUAUCCUAAAAUAUGUGAACUGCUAGCUUUGUAUGGGGAGAGUGAUCUUGUUCUGUUUGAUCUUCUAGAAUUGGCUGAUUUCUGCAAUGCAAAGAAAGUACACCUGAUCUAUGACAAACGAGAGCAUCCCCGACAAUCUUUACUCCAACAGAAUCUAGGUAAUUUUUGCUGUUUGCUUACUCUGUUGAAGAUUACGUUGAAUCAUGCUUCCACUAAACAAUGCAGCAACCUUAUAAUUUUGUCAUGAUUUUUUAGAGCUUUUUGAGCUAAUUGGCACCUAAUUUGCUUUAACUUUUGUAAUUCUGAUUUCUUCAGGUGACUUCCAAGGUUCUUCUUUGACAGUGGUAUUUGAAGGAGUGACGCUAAGCCAGGAAGAAGUAUGUAACCUCCAGCUUCCUCCCCCUUGGAAAGUUCAGGGCAGUGUUCUAAAUUAUGGCUUGGGACUUAUCAGCAGUUACUUUGUAUGUGAUGUUUUGACUGUUCUUUCGGGCGGUUACUUCUACAUCUUUGAUCCAUUGGGUUUGACUCUUGGUGCACCCUCUAGUGGUGUCCCUUCUGCAAGAUUAUUCUCUUUAUCAGGUUUCUUUUUGCUGUUAUUCUUUUGUUAGAACUUAGAAGUCUGAUGUUGUUCAUGUGGUCCAAACAUGUUUGACUAUUUUAUCUUAAAAGUACUAAACAGGCAACACCAUUUAUCUCUUCCAUCUGUAAGAUGAAAAAUAAAACUUACUGCAAAUUGUUGAUUUGCAGGCACCAAUUUGGUUGAGAGAUUUCGUGAUCAAUUCUAUCCAAUGCUUGUAACGAAGGAAAUAUCUCUGUCAUCAUCUAACUCUACAGUUAUACGCAUGCCUUUGUCAUCAAAGUGCUUGAAAGAACUUGAAACAGUUUCUAAGAGGGUAAAGCAGAUCUUUGAUCGAUUUAUGCAGCAUUCAUCUUCAACGCUUCUGUUUUUAAAGUCAAUCUUGCAGGUACCCACAUGCAAAACACAUGCCUUUGUUGCUUUUGGAUUUAAACUUGGCUUUAUAUAGUUGUAUCUCGACAAUUUUCUUCAGUCAACAUAUCCGACUGAGUCAAUCCGUUUGUUUCUCCCAACUUUGUAUACUUCAUUGUAAUAUCCAUGCACUGCCAUUCCUCAGGUUAGUUGCUAAUACAAAUAAUUUUUUGACGUCUUUUAAACUCUUCUGGAAAUUCAGGUUUCUUUAUCAACAUGGGAGGAGGGGAACUCCCAGCCUUCUUUGAACUAUUCUGUGUUUAUUGACCCAACAUUUGCUAUUUUGAGGAACCCAUUCUCCGAGAAGAAAUGGAGGAAGUUUCAAAUAUCAAGAUUAUUUACGGGUUCAAAUGCAGGCAUCAAAAUGCAUGCAAUAGACGUGAGUGUAAUUGAGAGCGGAAGCAGUUACAUAGACAAAUGGCUUGUUGUGCUUUGCCUGGGAUCUGGGCAAACUCGAAACAUGGCUCUUGAUAGGUAUAUUCUUUUGAUAUUAUGUAAGGGAAUUUGGAAAGCUCUUUUAGAUUACGAAUGCACUCCAUACUUCAAUUUGUCAUUGCUCACGUGGUUAGAUACUAGGGUAACAUAUAUGUAUAGUCCCUGUACUAUCCCUAUAUUGUGACAUGACUCGGUCCCUGAGGUUUUCUCUUUCACAUUUCAGUCCCUUUUCUUGUAUAGUGCAAUUAAAUUCCUGGCAAAGUCGUAUAGUGCAAUUACAUUCCUGGCUGUCAAAAAAAAAAGUCCAUGUACUGUUGUUCUUAAAUGAUCUUUUAAACCUUUUUUUCCAUUAAAUUGCAAUAGAGAGGUGAUUUUAUAGUAGUGAUGAAAUGGUCUUAAAAGGAAGAAGAAAUCUCCUUUUAUGAUGGUCAGGGAUGAAAGUGUGAUAUGUACGAAAGUUCAUGGACUAAUGUAAUGAAAAUAUCAGGAUCAAGCAGUAUCAGGUUACUGUAGGAUUUUCUAUAUAUUUUAUCCUAUGUAUCAUGACUAAGUUUAUAGCAAGUUACAGCUGCCAUUUAAAAAUCAUUGACUCACAUUGGGAAAUUUAACUUCUUUUCCCUCAUGAUAAUGCUCAUUUUAUAUUUUUUAAAUUUCAGGCGAUAUCUUGCUUAUAACUUGACACCUGUUGCUGGAGUGGCAGCUCAUGUAUCUCGUAAUGGAAGCCCUCUAAGUGUGCAGUCUUCAAGCUGCAUAUUGUCACCUCUUCCUCUCUCUGGAUCUGUAAGUAUGCCAGUCACAGCUCUUGGGUAUUUCCUUGUAAGCCACAAUGGUGGCCGCUACAUUUUUACUCAUGAUGAGACAACUUCGCCGGAAUUACACAUCGAUUCUACAAAGCAACUAGUUGAAGCAUGGAACAAGGAACUGAUGCUAUGCAUACGGGAUUCAUAUGUUGAGCUGGUAUUGGAAUUUCAAAAGCUUAGAAAGGACCCCGGGGCCUCUGCUGUAGAAUCAAAGUCCGCCCAUUCUUUAAGUUCUGUUUUGCAGGCAUAUGGUGACAGAAUAUACUCAUUUUGGCCAAGAUCUAGACAGCAGCCAACUUUAUCUGAUAAUUUGUGCUUAUCGAAAGCAACCGAAGCAGACUGGGAAUCACUGAUCGAACAAGUUAUAAGGCCGUUUUAUAAACGCCUGGUCGACCUUCCUGUCUGGCAACUCUAUCGUGGAAAUCUUGUCAGAGUUGAUGAAGGCAUGUUCCUCUCACAACCCGGGAGUGAUGGAGUUAACUUGCCAUCGGCUAGUGUUUGUAGUUUCAUCAAGGAACAUUAUCCUGUUUUUUCUGUACCAUGGGAAUUGGUUGGAGAAAUUCGAGCAGCAGGAAUUAAAGUAAGGGAAAUCCAGCCUAAGAUGGUCCGUGAUCUACUGAGAGCUUCUUCUUCUGUUAUACUUCGAUCUAUCGAUACAUACAUCGACGUUCUAGAUUAUUGUUUCUCUGAUAUCCAUCCAACCCAGCCAGCCAAUCUCAGACCAGUUGAGAAUAUGAGUAAGUCUGUAACUGAAAUGCAGCCUUCUUCAAGUUCGAGCAUGCUCCAUUCGCACCAUACAGUUUCACAGAGCACAGGUACUCCUGGAGGUGAUGCCCUGGAAAUAAUGACUUAUUUCGGCAAGGCUUUAUAUGAUUUUGGCCGUGGAGUUGUUGAAGAUAUUAGCAAAGCAGGAGGCCCUAUAGCUCAUGCAACUAGUAGCGCAGGUAGCAGCAAUUUACAUGCUGAUCGGUUAUUGUCAUCACUAAUUGCUGAAUUUAAAGGUGUUCCAUUUCCAACUGCAACAAAGUGUCUAAUAAGGUUGGGGACAACUGAACUUUGGAUUGGAAACAAGGAGCAGCAGCUAGUCAUGCACCCAUUAGCUGAUAAAUUUAUCCAUCAUCAGUGUUUAGAGAAACCCAUCUUGGCUGCAGUACUCUCAUAUCCAGCUAUUCAUCGGCCUUUGAUGUUGAGGCACUUUUCCCCACACUUGCUAUCGGGCCAUUUAAGGGUUCUUUUUCAUGAGCAUUGGGUAAAACUCGUAGAAACUAGUCGGGCUCCUUGGAUUUCGUGGGGUAACAGUACAGAAUCAUCCUCUUAUGGACCUACUCCUGAAUGGAUAAGGAGUUUCUGGAAAAUUUACGAGUCUUUACAGGGUGACCUUUCACUUCUAUCAGACUGGCCUCUAGUUCCUGCUUACUUGAAUGGGCCAGUUUUGUGUCGUGUAAAAGUGCGCCACCUAGUAUUUGUUCCACCUGUUACUGAUUUAACUCUUGAGAAUAGUGGAGAGUUUGGCCUGGCAAGUAACAAUAUUUCGGAAACUGAGCUAGAAAAGUUGCAUCAUGUUGCAUUUAAUUUCACAAACUCCAGACAUCCAUGGUUAUUUCCUCUACUUAAUCAGUUUAAUAUACCCUUAUAUGAUAUAUCCUACCCAGAACUUGAUGUACUUUGCAAGUUUGUUCCUGCUCGCAGUCAGACGAUUGGGCAUGCAAUUGUGUUUAAAUUACUUGCUGCCAAAAGAGCAGGUUAUCUGUCUGUGCCAGUUCAGUUAUCAGAUGAAGAUCGUGAUAGGCUGUUUUCUCUAUUUGAAAUGGAUUUCAAUGCGCCCACCCAGCAUGUGUACCAGAGAGAAGAGCUAAAUGUGUUGAGAGAACUCCCAAUAUACAAAACAGUCCUGGGCACCUACACAAGUUUAUAUGGCUCUGAUCAUUGGCUCGUUUCCCCUACUGCAUUCUUCCAUCCUAAUGAUGAACGAUGUCUUUCCAGUUCAGCGGAAGCAAGUUCAUUUUAUCAUGCUUUAGGAGUUGAACAGUUGAGUGAUCAAGAAUUGUUAGUCAGGUUUGCCUUGCCCUUCUUUGAAAACAAAACCCCACAAGAACAGGAUGAUAUACUAUUGUACUUGUAUACGAAUUGGAACAAUCUACAACUGAAUUCUGCGGUGCUGACUAUCUUGAAGGAGACAAACUUCAUAAAGAAUGCGAAUGAGCUUUCAACUGAGUUAUUUAAACCAAAGGAUUUACUCGAUCCUUAUGAUUCUCUUCUUACAUCAGUAUUCUCUGGGGAAAAAAGCAAGUUUCCAGGUGAGAGGUUUGUAACAGAUGGAUGGCUUCGCAUACUGAAGAAAGCAGGCCUUCGUACGUCCUCGGAAGCUGAUAUGAUAAUAGAAUGUGCAAAGAAAGUAGAGGCCAUGGGCAUUGAUGCUAUGACCUGUGUCGAAGAGCCUGACGAGUUUGAGGGAGACUUUUCGAGUAGCAGAAAUGAAAUCUCUUUCGAGAUAUGGACAUUAGGAGAAUCUAUUGUUAAUUCCAUAUUCUCAAAUUUCGCUACUCUUUUUGACAGUGCCUUCUGUGAAAAGAUUGGAAAAAUUGCAUUUGUACCUGCUGAAAAAGGUUUUCCUAGUAUUGGUGGUAAGAAAGGGGGUAAAAGGUUUCUCUCUUCCUAUAGAGAUGCUAUCUUGCUAAAGGACUGGCCGUUGGCCUGGAGCUCUGCUCCUAUUCUUACUAAACAGAGUGUCGUUCCUCCUGAAUAUUCUUGGGCUGCAUUUCGGCUUCGAAGUCCUCCAGCCUUUUCUACAGUCCUGAAGCAUCUACAGGUUAGGAUAUUUAGUAUGUUCUUCCUCUUUUGGUCACUCAUGUUCAUGUUCUUUAUGGAAUGUCAUGACAGAUUGUUGGAAGAGAUAAUGGUGAAGAUACGCUUGCUCACUGGCCAACUUCAUCAGGGAUGAUAACAGUUGAAAAUGCUUUCCUAGAGAUUCUCCAGUACUUAGAGAAAACAUGGGGAACACUAUCUUCUUCAGGUUAGGAAAUGCAUAUUACGUUACACUUUGUUCUUGCCGGUUGUAUUAAGUAAAAUCUUAAUUGUUAGUUUGAAGAAACAGCUUUAAUCUAGAAAAUUUGAAAACAUGUUCACUUGUGAUGUUAUUAGAAUAAACUUUAUGUGCAUACUUUGGCAGAUAAAACCGAAUUGGAGAAGUUGGCAUUUGUACCUGUUGCAAAUGGUACUCGCUUGGUCUCAGUAAAGUCUCUUUUUGCUCGCCUAACUAUAAACAUGUCACCUUUUGCCUUUGAACUUCCGAGCCCAUAUCUUCCAUUUAUCAACAUCCUCAGGGAGCUGGAAAUGCAAGAAAAUCUUACUGUUUCCUAUGCAAGGGAUUUUCUUCUGAGUAUCCAAAAAGCAUGUGGUUACCAGCGGUUAAACCCAAAUGAACUCCGUGCAGUGAUGGAAAUUUUGAAUUUCAUAUGUUGUUCUGGUACUACACAGGCAAUAACAGAUGAAUCGGACAUCAUUGCUGAUACGAUAAUCCCGGAUGAUGGAUGCAGGCUUGUCUCAGCAAGAUCAUGUGUGUAUAUUGAUCCAUAUGGGUCUCAGAUUCUCAGUUUUAUAGAUACAUCUGCAUUACGAUUUGCUCACCCGGAGCUUCCUGAAAGUAUACGCACAUUCUUGGGCAUCAAGAAGCUUUCUGACAUCAUUGUCGAGGUAUUUCCUAUUGGACACGUGAUGCUAUACUUGUAUGAAUGUCUAGUGAAAUCCAUUGCCUAUCCUUGAACUUUAUUCAUAAACUUGAAUUUCUUUCUAAAAAUGAGCAUCACGAAUGUUCUUUUGCAGGAAUUAGAUGAAGAACUGGAACUACAAUUUGUGGACCAUGUUGCAUCCGUACCACUGAGCAAGAUAAAAGAAAAGCUUUUAAGCAAAUCAUUACACAAUGCAGUUUGGAUCUUACUAAAUGGCAUAAACAAUCAUUUCCCUUCAUUUCAAGGCCUUACUUUGUUUGAAACGCAAAACUUGCUGCAAGACAUGGCAGAAAAGCUCCAAUUCGUUCAACACCUCUACACUCGGUUUCUCCUGCUCCCCAAGCUUAAGGAUAUUACAAGGGUGGUUAACAAUUCCGCUUUUCCUGAGUGGGGAGGCAAUGGACAAAAGCAUCAAAGUAUUCAUUUUGUAAACAAAUCGAAAACCCGUAUUUUAGUUGCAGAGCCACCGAGUUUUCUGACAGUAUAUGAUAGCUUAGCAAGUGCUGUUAGCCACAUCCUGGGUGCACCAGUAACAUUACCCAUUGGGCCACUUUUGGUCUGUCCGGAUGGUUCAGAGAAAGAAGCCCUAAAAAUACUUAAGAUAGGGCCUGAAAUUGGAUCUUCUAAAAAGGGAGGAAAGUACAAUGUUUCAUUGGGAAAGGAGUUACUGCCUCAGGAUGCUCUUCGGGUGCAAUUUCUUCCUUUACGACCAUUUUAUUCUGGGGAAAUUGUAGCAUGGAAAACAGGAAAAGAGGGGGAGAAACUGAGGUACGGCAGGGUUCCAGAGGAUGUGAGGCCAUCAGAGGGCCAAGCACUAUACAGGCUCUCGGUGGAAACAGCACCUGGUGAAACCUUAAUGCUGCUUUCUUCUCAAGUUUUCUCAUUUCGAAGUGUUUCGAUGGCUGACGUUUCUUUUGUGCCCGACCAACCUGAGAGUAGUGAGAGAGGAGCAGGAAAUACGAGGUCCGGCCUUACAUUGGCAAAUACCAGGAGUGCGGAAGUCACGAACCACGUAAGUUCCAAUAUUUUUAUUUGAAUUUGAUAAUAUACACCCUACCCGAACUACAAUACCUUUCUAAAUGGGUACCUGAACUUUGGAAAUUUUGAUUUUUAGUACCUGUAUUUUCACUUAGUAUGAUUUCAGAUUAGUCAGGACUUAAAACAGUUUUAUAAAGUAACAGAGUAUUCCAUCAAGUGCAGAACAUUUUGUUAGGUUACACAAUGUGAUUAAAAAAGUUGCAAUGCCAUCUAGUUCUGAUGUAGAGGUAUUUAGAUCAAACAUAUCGUAACAAUAGGUACUUUGAACAAAUUUUCUGAAGUUCAGGGUCCCAUUUGGAAACGUGUUGUAGUUCAGAUGCCCAUUUGACAAUCAAAGGUAAAAAACCGAUAGAUUUUACCUAAACUGUUAGGUUUGUGUGUUUUUAAUUUUACAUUUUUAGACAUGGAUCUACAUUGUCAGAUGCUAAAAGCAUUUUCUUGCUGCUAGAAUGAUAAGAUCCAGUAUGGAAAAGUUUCUGCAACAGAAGUGGUGCAAGCAGUUCAUGACAUGCUUUCAGCUGCUGGAGUCAAUCUUGAUGCCGAGAAGCAAAGCUUGCUCCAGACAACUCUGAGUCUGCAAGAGAAGCUUAAAGAAUCUCAAGUAGCCCUUUUGGUCGAACAGGUUUUUUCUUUUCUCUUCUUUUCUUCACUUCCCGCAUUAUUUAACCACAUGACAAGUAGGUUUUUCUAUUAGCAGCUUGAAUUGAAUCUCUAACCAUCAAAAUUUGGUACUAUUUCGGUAGUGUUUUACAAAGAUCAUGUUGCCUCGAGACUUGGAAGUAUUUCAAAAGGAAACCAUUUUUCUUUUUCUUCUUUGAAAAUCUAUAGGAUUGUUCAUUGAAGUUUAUUCGGAACAAAAUUUUGAAAGUACCUGCUUACCUGCAAAACACAUGAUUGUUGCAGGAAAAGGCUGAAGCAGCAGUUAAAGAAGCUGAUGGGGCAAAGGCGGCAUGGUUAUGCCGGGUCUGUCUGACUAACGAGGUCAAUAUCACUAUCAUUUCUUGCGGCCAUGUAUUGUGUAACAGAUGCUCAGCUUCCGUCUCGCGUUGCCCAUUCUGCCGCACCCAAGUUUCGAGAAUAAUGAAGAUUUUUAGGCCAUAAAAGCCACAUGAACCAUUCAUUUUUUGGGGUUAGAUUCUUCAACUCUAUGUUGAAGCAUCCUGAUCUUGCAAGAUACAGGUGAAGAUUGAUGCUAGUUAUAAAGACUGAUCUCUUUGAGUUGACGAAACCUACAUUCCUUGAUUCUGGAAGUUUGUACAGUUUUAAUGGGAAUUAUUAUACAACCUGUAAAGGUGUAAAAAUUCUUUCACAAGAAAAGGUGUAUAUAUGUCGGCAACAAGCUAUAAACUGAUACUUCCGCCCAGAUACUAAGUUUAGCAUUCUUUCCUGUGUACAAAGGUUUCGCUGUUAAACCAGAGAUGUGCUACGGGGGCCAUUAUUAUUAAUUGAUGUCAGUUUGCUUUCUUAAACAAAAUAUAUAUAAAUAUGAUUGGCAGGACUAGGAAGUGUGUUUUCUUCUCUUUUUUUUUUUUCUCGUGACCUUCUCUCUUUCAUGUGUAAGUUAUUAUUUGACUUUGGAUUAGUCGGUUCGAAGCUCACCACGCCCGUGGCAGAGGCUUCCACUCCUCACCAGUUCUAUGUUACUAUGCUCUUGCUAUGGUAUCGGAUAUAUCUUUUGUCGUAUGUACCUUCCUUUUAAGUCUAAAGAGUCGUUGCGAGUUAGAAAGCUACGCCAUAUCGGCCAUCUACCAAAGUAUGACACUAGCAAAGUCUUAUGUACUGUGGCUAGACAAGUCAUUGAUCCUCUAUUUUUGUUCUUUUUAAGGUGGUCUACAAAUUAUUCAAAAUUUAAUGGAAACAAUCCAUGAACUAAUGUAUCUUACCCAGAUCCAUAUCAACAAUGGGGUAUUUCCUUUUUUUUUUUUUUUUUUCAUAUCCACAAAAAAAAAGGGUAACAUAUCGGAGUUCUAUAGAUUGUAUAUGAGAAAAAAAAUAACAACAGGAUUUGUACACGAGCUGAUUUACAGGAAAAAGAAAAAAAGGAAUUAUAGACAAGUUGCAAAGAUAAGCACGUCCACUAUGUAGAAACAUUUCCACAUUUAUAUCUAAAUUUUGUAGCAUUGAAAAUUGAAUUACCAAUACUAUUAUAGAGUACUGAUAUGAAUAUGGUAAAUUCCACCCACUUUACCAGAACAAUCUACCUACAGACGCAAGUCUAUGCAGGAAGACGUUAUGACUUGAUAAAGGACAAGAACAGCUGCAGUAGCCGAAACAAAUCAAACAUAACAUAGAUUAGGGUUAUCAUUUACUAUCAUCAACAUCGUUAAAAAUUAAGGUUUUUUUUUUCAACAUUAGGUGGGGGAAAAACAGGGGCAACAUGAACAGUAUAUCUUGAGAUGGGAAUAAUCCAUACACAAUUUUCAGUUAAGGGUUUUCUGGAGCACGGAAUUUGAAGGCUUGGAAUGCCCAGCUUUAAUCCCUUUAGGCUUGGUAUCCAACAAGCACAAGUCCUCACCGUCAAUUACUUCUCAAUAAAGUAGCACUACAGUCUACAGAGUCAAUAUAAUAGCGCACUGUAGUCUACAGGACAAAUGAUCUAAAGAAUACAACAGAUAGUGACAUAAAAGGUGAGCGUAUGGGCUACUAGCUGCAGCUUCGUCAGGAAUUUGGAAGAUAUUAAGCAGUUGGGACGGUAUAACAUAAUAGUGUUAUAUCUUAGAUCUCUUUGAAACAAUAGGUGCAAAGAAAUGACUAAAUCAUCUUCUAAUAGAUGCAAGCAAUAUAGCUGAACUGCGACAUGCAUGUUUUGCUACAAAUAUGAACUUAUUGAGUGAAUGACCGAUUUGCACAAAUCGAAAUCAAAGUUUGGCCUGCGAUGCAAGUGCACUACAUUUCCGAAAACAGAAGGCCUACUCUUCCUCCGCUGUCUAAGAACUUAUGCAAGUGAAUGCCAAGUAUUUAAUCUAGAAAAAACACCUUCCUACUUCCUAUAGUAAGUCUUCAAAGUAAUAAGAUCGUAUAAACUGAACUGUACAUAUGUUAAUAGUAAUGUGAUAUUCGAAAGAAACCUAAACAUCAGUGGAAUUAUCUCUUAUGCCGAAAGCCAGAAAAAUGAAUCUCUCUUGGAAGUUCGGUUGUUAAAGUAAGAACUGCAUAUAUAAAUAUUAAACUUGACAUUAAAUAUAGGCUGCCUUAGGGCUAUAAAUGCAGGUAAUACAGAAGUUCCAUACACAAGAAAGCUAAAGCAUAUACUCUGUUUAGUUAGAUGGCAGCAACAGAUUCCAAACCCAGACAAAUUGUGGAAUAACGACAAAAUAGGUUAAUAGAACACAUAGAGAACUGCUGCCGCAUAUCUAGAAAUCAUAUUAAUAUGAUAAAUCAGAUAAAUUACACAAGCAACAAAAGGAUUAAACCUCAAAUGCUUAAUCAUCAUCUUUUGGACAGCAUAUAUUGCAAUAAAUUUAACAAGAAUAAGAAGCAGAAGGAAGUACUUAAGCAAAUAAGAACCAACCUCCCUAUGGCCUGACAUAUUUAAGCUUCAAAGAACUGUACCUGAGCCUCCAUGGUAGUUGAACAGGAUCAAAGUCUUAUUCCAUGACUCACAGUCUCUAGGAAUGCAUACUACAUGAGCUCUUAAAUUAUCCAGACAAGUCUUCUAACUGGAACCUACAACAGUUCAAACAUCAUAAGCAGUUCCAAAAGAGACUCAUACAACCAAAACAAAAAAACACAAAAUGCACUUAUUUGUGCUUGUGGAGUUUACUUGUAGGAACAAGAGAGAUAAGUGACUGUAUAGUAUGAGAAAGAAAACACCUGCCACAAUCAAAGUGUUGAUUUAACUUCUAAAAUAGGAAUAAAUUUUGUUCACAAACUGUUAGAAGCACAUGAAUUUAAAGAGUGUAUAGGAAUAACCUAUAAAGUGUACAGGCAAUCACAUAUUGUUCCAAGGGGCAGUUUAUGGCUCCAUGCAGCUGCAUAAGUGGAUGUGACCUAUUCAUGAUAUACUACACAUAUGGAUUGAGCAUCGUUCUUUAUUAAUACGUAUAAAAGUAUAAAUUAAUAAUUGCUGGUGUGACUAAAGCUCUUGCUGCAUUUACAAACUUCUACUGUAUUUGUUAAUUCUCGGAAAUUUAUAAUUGGUCGUUACUAGAUAAUUAAUUCAUUAGCUUGUUGAAACUAACCUUUCACAAACUAUAUGUGGCUAAAAGACUGAAUGCCAGAAGCAACUAUUAUAUGACUCUCAAUGUAUUAUUAGCAAACUAGACAUAAUUUCAAACUGAUUUCUCUUUUCGAGUGAAAAAGAACUGCUGAUCAUUAUACAUCCAUAUAUACCUCUUACGUUUUAUAUUCUGGAUAUACACUAUGAACCCCUUUGAUCAUAUUCGUACUUCAUAAACUUAGUAACAAGAAUUAAAGUGCCUAUCAGCACGGGCCGUAUCCACCGUGCCGUAUCGUACCAGCAAGAUAUCGGCACGAUAUAGCUCCGGUGCGGAUGGCACGAUUCAAAACUCUCUAUUCUUGAAAUUAGUAAGUAAUUUUUUCAAUAAAGUUCAAAAGAUUUGAUAAAAAUACAUAAUAAAUAAUUGACAUAUGUUGCUGCUAAAGAAAAUAUCUCAUGCCAUUACGUGACAGCACAUAUAUAUUUUUUGUGACGGACAUGCAUUGGCAUGGCCUGGCACGCAUGAUGCCGUACCGUGCUGGCAAGUUUCCAACACAAUCCCGUGCCACGGUACUUAAAUUCUUGCUUAGUAAGUUCUACCAAAUUAAAAUGGUAAAAACAGGGAUAUUUUCCGCCAAUCAAUCAGUUGAAGGCUGCAUCCUGUUCAAUAAGUUUAGAACUAUUAACUCUCAAACAGUAACUUCCCAAACUUGGAGUUAUAGAAAAAAUGACUGCAGGAAUUAUGUAUCUAAAUCAGCCAAAAAAAAAAAUCACAAAGUGACAAAAGAAAACUUGCUCCAUGAUUGGUCAAAUUCUUCCAGUCCUUAACCAUCUACAAUUACAUUUAGAAUGCCAAUAUAUAUUAAAAAAAAACAGAGUAUGCAUGACAAAAUAUGUACCAAGAUCUAUAAAAUGAGAAAGUAGCUAUAAUGGGAAGGGCAUCCAAAACAGAGUACACCCUGCAGUAUUCUUGGACCGACAUAGAAACUCUAGCAUAUGGAUGGUUUAUUUGCAACUCAAAAGUUCAAGAAAGUGUAAGAAAUAGUGAGUCACAAUUGCAGAAUGGAAAUACAAAAGGACCGCCAAGUGAACAGGGCUUAAUAAUAGUCAUCAAUGAUAUUCUGCAAGAUCCAAACCUAUUUGUCAGCACUCCUGUCAAUAACAUAGUUUUCUAUUACUAUAUUUUAUAUUAUCACCAGAAAGCAGAAAAUAUAUGCAUCUAUAAGUUGAUAGAUCGACAUUUUCAUUUUUCUCCUAGGUAAAUAUUAAGAAUAUCACCAGUUUCUCAAAGAAAUGACUCUACAACUGCAUAAUCCAAAAGGUAUUGAUAAAAAGUACCAUUGUUGACUAAAUGUCUCCUUUUUUCUUCCAUGAGCGAAACUUUGUUACAAAAGCAAAACAAAUAAGUCAAAUAUAGACAAGUAACGUCUUCAUAAAGAAGCCAAAAUUUCUACAGAAACAAAGUGGCUCAUUAGGAUUUCCACUUCUGUUAAGUAAACCAAAUUAAAUUACAUUAGAAAGACUGCUUCAUAAACUUUAAGAACUAUCACGCACACAAAAAAGUUUCAUUAGUAAAGCAGCAAAGUAGGAGAAAGGCAAUGCUUCCAAAGACUGUAAAGUUAUUAAGCUCAAAGUAGUCAUGGAAUCAAGAUUUCAAGGAAAAACCAAACAAGCAAAGUAAUAUUUCAGGUAAAAGACUUGCAUACUGAAGCAAAAGCUAAGUUUCUUUCCAUUGCUGUCAUUAUUAGUAAAAAAUAUAUAUACAUAGGAACAUAAAUAAAACAUAUUAACCAUGCUAGUUACUACUGAAGAUACUAAAUAGAAAAGAGAGAAAAAGAACUUAGAAAAGCAGGUUAAUUUGAGGCACUUGAAUAACUAGGUAAUAAAUUAUUUGUAUGGAAUGGUAUUUCAUGCAUUAAGCCCUAUUAUAGCCCAACGCUUUACGUUACAACAUAUUAGCAUGACUGAGAAUUAACGAACAACACACCUGCCAAGUAUUAACAAAAAAGGAAUAUAGAAGUCAUAUUCAGUGAUUGCAUCUGCUAACAGGUAGAGGAAUAAGUGUAAUAUAGACUACACAAAGCCAAAAAAAAGAAGAAGAUAGAACAUCGAAGUUACAAUGAUUGUGGCAUUGCAGAAUAAUUCAAUAUCUAGCAAGUAUGACUACACCUUGUUAUGAUAACUUCUGAGACAUAGUUAUUGACAACUUGAACCAUAUUGACAUCUAGAAACAUAGGUUUCCCCAGUCUUCUAAUGUGAAAGUUGACUUCCAACAGGCAAGACCAUAUUUCUCACAAGUUAACUCCCUGAGCAAAAACAAUUGGCCUCUAGAAAACGGCAGAUAAUAAAAGAAACAACAAUUACAAAUUUGGCCAGAAUAUUACAAGAAAUAUAAUUACUACAAUAGAAAAAAGUUACACAAGAUAUUAAUUGUUUGUGUCAGAACAAUUUAUCGGGGAAAACCCGUACAAUAUGGGGAUUUCUUUAUAUGACUGCAGCCUGGGAGCUUGAUUUUCAGCUAUUGUGAGAUCUUUUAGAAUAGCAAGUUUGCCUUCACGAGAUGAUUUACCCUACUUUGGAAAAAAAGAUUAUUUAAGCUGUAGGUUGUCAUACACUCCUUACAUACUCCCCAUCAAUCAAUCACCAUAUGUCCUGAGUAAAAAAAAGAGAUAUGCUGAAGAAACUACCUUAACAUGACCAUCUUGUGCUGCACAUCUCUCUUGUUUACUCAAGAGCUGGUUGCAAGUUAACAAUGACAUAGAAUAUGCGACCUUCAAGUCAUUUUCUUGGAAUAUUAUAAAUCACUUCAUAGGUGAAACCAUAUAUAACUUGCAAUGCCAUAGGUUAUCCUGAAAAAACAUAACCAUCACGACUUAGCAAUUGACUAACAAACAAACUUGUGGAUAGCAAUCAUAAAAGAAAAUCCCAAUAUGGCACAAGCUAUCACUAGAUAACUUGUUCUGACAUCCAAGCAAAACCUAAAUGAGUUUGGAAAUGAAAUCUGACAAAUGUAUCAGGCCAUCAGAUUGUUAUGUUCCUGUACUGCUCAAAAAGGAUCAUUGCUCAAUUUCUAUUGUAGUAUAAAUUCAAAAAGGAACCAAGGAACUAGCAAACUAAAGCACAAUCUCACGCCCACCAAAUUCACCUUAAAUAACUUAUUAGUUACUGCGCCGGCCAAACCAGCUAGCACAGAGCGGCAGGUAUUGUGCCAACUGCCAACAAAGUACUGGCACGAUAAACCCAUGUGCCUGGCUGCGGCAUAGCACAGAAACCCUCUUUUCCACUCUUUUUUUUCCCAAAAGAAAAGGAGCUUGAACUUUCUUUUCAAGCACUUCUGUACUAUGAUUUAUUCAUUUGGUUGAUUCAAUUUGUUGAAAUUGAAGGUAAAUUUGGGAAAAGAUUAAUUCCCCAAUUUGUUACCGACAGUUCCAAUGAAACCAAGUACUUCAAGUAAAAUUUAAUGAAAAUAUGACAACUAAUCAGUAGAACUGAAAAAUUUACCUACUGUAAGCACCAUUAGUUCAUGGGCAUUAUAUAUCAUAUUCAAUAAAGUUUGUUAACAUUCAGAUAAAUUCCACCAAUUUAAUAGAGAAGACUACAUAAAAACACAUUCAAAACUAAAAAAAAAAUGCAAAAUCCUGUUCCAAAAGUAACUGGCACAAAAGUAACAUGCCAGCGGCAAGCUGGAAUGUGCUGCCGUACGCGCUGCGCUGUAUGGACAUAGGAUGGCACACGCCUGUGCCACAGGCGAACAGCACAGCGAUUUUUUUCUUUUAAUGCAAACAAAUUAGCUGGUUGAUAUAUUCCGAUUAUACAUGCAGAGAAAUUAUUUUAUUGCUGAAGCUGUGAAAUCCCAAAAUGUACACUGAUCAACAUUCUCGAUAAACCAGCAAUAUCGCAAACAGAGUUCCUCUAGUUAGAAAAUAAACAAAAAAAACGCAGGAGAAACAGCAUUGUAUUCAACUCAAAUAUAGUCAGAAACUUGUGUUCUUUAGUACGUAAAUAAACUUGGCCUUACACAUAGCAGUGGUUGUCUGCUGUAUGUAGCUCUCAAGACAAAAUUACAAUUUACAAAGUCCUGGCAUGGCAGUAAGGCAGAUUGCAUCACCAUCCUCAACAGCAUUUGACCAUUAUAAAGUAUGUAUCAGGAAAGAAAGGAACACCUCCGUAUGUACCCAAAUCCAGCAUCCACACAUCCUAUGACUGAUCUGUAAAAGGGUGUCAGAGAUGCAUAAGUCCCCAUCAAUUUAGGAAGUUUAAGAUGCAAUGUUACAUCUGUGAUGAGAAAUAAGCUCAUUAGCUACUUUAGAAGGCUUCAAGGGGGUGCUAUUCAGAACAACACAAGGGUGCAUAUAUCGGCGGCAGCUUCUCAGAAUGAAAAGCCGAAGUACAGUACUGAAGCAUCAAGUUUACCAUAAUCAAAAUGGGUUUAACAAAAUCAAGCAGGUCUCCAACAAUUUAAAGCAGAUAUAUCUGGCCUGCCUGGUAACAUCUGGGGAUGAACAUGGCCUGGAAGAAUACCAAAAAGGAUUAAAAAUUAAAUAACAAGCAGAAUUAAAGGCCCUAUAUUCAAAAGAUAAAUAACCUGGAAGAGAUGCUGCAGAUGGCAUAGAAUUAUGCGACUGAAGUUGAUAAUUCAUAGAACCCGAAGAUGGCCUAUCCAUGUUAGGCCUCAAAUAUCCUGCAGGAAGAAUGCCCUCAAAAAAUCAGCAAUUAGUCAUUUAACAUAUUGGAAGUGGAGAUACCAAGCCUUUUCCAUUUCUGCAAAAAUGCCUCUUUAUGUGCAUGUGCAUAUCUCUAUAUAUGUACAAACAAUUUUCACAGACAACCCACAAUUCAAACAUACCAUCCUGCAAAUAGGGGGCUCCUGAGCAUGAUGGCACUCUCCCUCCCGCUAACCAAGGUUGAUUCUGAUUAUCUGGACUUACAUCAUGAGACAGCAGUCUCCACUGUUCAUCCGGAACAUGUUGCCUGUGACUGCUAGAAAAAUUUUGCAUGGUGUAAGGAUUAUAAGGCUUCUGUACAUUCUGUUGACCCAUGGAGUUCACAUGUGAGAAAUGAUAUGACGGUUGCUGGGCCGUGGGAUGGGAAUGAGAAGGAAGCGGUGCUUGUGAAGGUGGGAGGAUAUGGAAAGAUCCUUGAUGAAGGGGUUCAUUAUUAUGCUGAAAUUGCUGGUUAGGAUGAGAGUUCUGGGAUGUUAAAUAAACAUCGUUAUGUCCAUAGAUGGAUGGCCUUGAAGAAGUGAAGGUUGCUGUAUGGUGUGGGUUGCAUACUCCGCUUGCCAUAAAGUUGUUAGGCUGUGGUAGAAUCAUUUCAUUCUGGAAAGCAGAAUUAGCUAGCCCAGGCAUCGCAGUGUUUCCCGCUAGUUGUGCUACCUGGUUGCCCUGCAUUAUAAAAGAUAGGUGUUAGUAAAUCAUAUGGGCAACAGGCGCAAAACAAAUAAAGGCUUCUAUUCUUUUCUGAAAGUGAGAAGCAUAAAGACUUACAUUUGGAGUCCUGCAAUAUUCCUGCACAGAAGGGUGAUAAACCAGAGGCGGUGGGGAUGAAGGCGCAAGAGGUGGAGGUGGUGGGAGAGAUGGCAGAGGCGGUGGUGGAGGGGGUGGUGGAGAUGGUGAUAACGGUGGCAAGGGUGGUGGUGAUGAUGGCGGAGGAGGGGGGGAAGGAGGAGGAGAAGGAGGCAACGGCGGCGGUUGUGGUGGGGAAUCCAAUGGAAGGGGAGGAGGGCCCUCUGGUAGAGGGGGGAGCUCAAUCUGGUUGCUUAAUGGGGGUUGCAGAGUAUUGCUCAUGUUAUGCACAGACAAACCCCUCUCAUUUCUAGAUAAGGAAGAAGCAUCUUCCAUUUCCAUUUCAGCAUCUGAAUCCUCCAAUAGCGGACGACGUCUGUCGACCGGGGUAAUGGCACGACCAUUUUCUUGAUCUUCUGAACCACUACCACCUUCAACUGAUAAGAAAUUGCCCGUCGUCUUUAUAGCACUAGGAAGAUCUUCCUCGUCUUCGAAAACAUGUGAUGAUAAGAAUCCCGACAACUGGAAAGUAGCAUUGCUGAAAAGAAAGAUAUAAGAAUAUGAAUGUAAGAAUAAUCAAUAUCCUGCAUAAUGGAAAACCUAGCUUUAUCAAAGACAAUUUAAAUCAAUCACCAGCCCAACAUGCAAUCCCAAUAAAAAAAACAUCAUGCAAUAUUAUGGUGCCACAGGAUACUAUGUACAAACAUGAUGAUACAGAGAGAGGGUGCUUUUGGAACAACCAAUAGAAUUAUGCCACCUUUUUCUGAGCACCAUACCCACCUCGCGAUCUGUGAGCUCAGGGAUAUCCAUCAAAAUCUCUAUGCACAUCUAUGUAAAGCGACAUGGACUCUGUCUCUACAUACUUCAAAAGUUUAUGGUUGAUGGAUAGAUUGUUAAGCUCGUUCAAAAUAAUGCUAUCUUUUACCCCCAAGCUAUAAAGUAUGUUAUCAAAAUUUUAGGCUGUGAUUCUUUGAAGUUACUAAGUUCAUAUAAUCCAUUCUAAAACCAUAAAACUUGAAUUUAAGGAUUGAAUCUGUGAACUCACUCCAGGUUCAAAAUGGUUUCUGAUUAUUAAGCCAGCCAAUUGGUUUAGUCUCCAUAAAAUUACUAUAUAGGAUAAACUUCCUCAAUUACUUCGCCUAUCUUUCACUGGAGAAGAUAAGAAAAGGUACAGAAUUAGAUUUCUGGAAUUGUAUAUUCCAUUCUGUACAUAUCACCAAACAAACCAAGAGGAACUUCAAUCAUUUCUCUUACCAAAUUAUAUCCGUUGCUAAGAAGUCACUAGAAGAAAACACUGUAAGAACAUCCGUCACACAUGCAUCCAGGAGCAGAACAUGAUGAAGAAAUAAAGUAUCUAACAUUUAACAGAGUGACUAUAAAGGGACAACGACAUUGAAUAUACUACCUUCCAUAUUCAUCAACAAGCAUGCCCUCCAUUUCUCUAAUUGGAUCGUCCACGGAACGCUCAGCUCGAGAUGGACGCCUAAGAGAAAACCCGGCAUUUGCAUCAUCAUUUGGAACCUCAAUGUCAUCCAUAUAUCUUCGAAGAAGUGAUUCUGGCAGAAUCUUCCUCUCAAGCCAUAAUCUCAGAACCUAAAAAUAAUUUGCAAAACAUAAUUAUUUAACCGACAGGAUGCCUGUUACAAACUGAAAGUAAGAAAUAAAAAAAGGGAAAGAAGAUAGAACAAAAAAAAAGAUUAGAAAGAACUACUAUCACCUUGAGACACUGUCGGCGAUUCUCACGAGCACCAACUCCAGGCGGAGCAGCAGCACCUAAAAGACGAGGUAAUGCUGCUUGCACAGUAGGAAUGUACGAAGCCCCCGCAAUGCCUAAUCAUUUUUUUGUAAGGUAAUAAAUAUUUGAAGAGUACAGCAUAUAUAUCGGUCAGGAAGGACUGGGCAAGCAAUAUUUCAUAGUACAGCAUAUAUAUCGCUCUGGAAGGACUGGGCAAGCAAUAUUUCAUCCCACCGCAUAAAUUAAUAUCACAAUGCUAAACAGCAGAAAUGCAGUGGAUAGCAAGGUAAUCUCACUACAUAAAUAGGUAAACAAUGAACUGGGAAUUUGAUCUAGAAGAGAUUAAAUUCAUAAUAAGCUAAAAUAAAGUAGAGUGUAGCCAUGAUUUGAUUUUACAGUUUCAUCUUGAAAAAUAUGUGAGAUGUCAUAAUGCCACUUCAACAAAUCUUCUUAAAUGCAAUCAUCACACAACACUAACCUUUCUGAGCAUGAGAACACUGGGUUAUAGAGUCUACAAGGAAAAAGAGGUCAACUCUCCGAUGAAAACUGGGUUCACCCUCCAACUUCCGUAUGAGAAGUUCUACAAUCUGCAUUAUCAAUAUAUGAAAAAUUCAGAAUUGCUGCUUAUUGCAGCACAUAGAAUUAAGAACUUGGGAAAGGCUAAAAAAAAUGUACUUUUUGUGGAAGAAAGACAAAUUUGUCAUGUAAGAACGUAGAUCAUGUAAAGAAACAAAAUAUAAGCAACUUGAAUAAAAUAGAAUUGUACAAACUGGCAGGGUAAUUUUGUUUUCUUUUAAAAAUCAUAUAUAUCAAACACAUUACUAGGAAAAGCUAGCCAUAAAGCACUAGAUCGGAUCAAGUACGCUUAACAAUUAAAUCCACUUUGAAAGCAGAAAAUGCAAGUGCCUCAAUCGAAUAAAAGCAAACCAAUAAGAUAAAUUGAAUCAAAUUUAUGUACCACAAAUUUAUUAAAACCAAAGAAUCGGUCAACCUAAUAAAGUGAUAUUCAGAAUGAAAAUGGCAACCAUAAUUCAAAAUAAAAUCUUAUCCAAAAUGUCAGCUAUGUGUAUGCGUGCCUGCAUGCAGCAAAAUCAUGCAAGUCAGCUCACCUCACUUGCUAUGCCAUAUUUGGCACACUCGAUGGCUAGACGGGUUGCACGCCCUAUACUUUCCUUUGUCCUUGAUAAAGUCUCUAUCAUUCCCUCCAAAGCAUCACGUGCAACAGCAGCCUCAGUUCCACCACUCAGUGAUCCCCCUGCUGCUCUAUACCCAGGACUCAAUCUGUGCUCAUAUUCUUCAUGAUCUACUUGUUUUGCUGAUGCAACUUGCCGAGCUUGUUCAGAUGGAGAUUCAUAAGGUACUGAAACAUAUGCAUCCUUUGGGUCCUUAAAAGAAUUUCCUGAUGCGACUGGAGGGGGUGAUGAAACAGGACUUCGACUGCUUCCAGGCAUCACAUGUGGUGUAGUUAGUGAGGUGGGAAAAGCAUUUUCAUGAGUUAUGUCAUGUGAGUGUGCCUCUCUCCUCUUUGCCUGAGCAGCUGCAAUAAGAUCCUUCAUUGACUUGAACGAAUCUGAAAAUGUAGAAUCACCUUGGAUGCCCCCCGCUUUUUCUUUAUUACCUUCUGAUCUGCAACAGAUUCAGAUAAAUUAACUAUUGAUGAACAAAAAGAAUGAGAACCAAACAUCUAUAAAACCAUAUAAUUGUAUAUCAAAAGAAAGGAGCCAGAGUAGUUUCUGUACCGUUCACCCUCAAAUGGAUCCCUUUCUAUAUUGCGCUCAGCUGAAAAGUUAACAUUUGACCUAUUUUCAGCCAUCGCAUUCGUUCGUGAGCUGGGCUUUGUAUUCACCUUCAGCUUAUCUGAUUUGGAAAGCAAACUACUCUUUUCUGGGGCCGCUUGACUAUGAGAAUGGUCUAAGUUCUCCGAAGUCUGGCUUACGAGUUUGGCAGAACUAGCGUGAGCUUUCUUAACUGGGAUGGACGCAGAUGCUUUUGAAUGUGACUUACUGGAUUUAUGGUCAGCUAACCGAGUUGUAUCACCUAAAUGAACAGCUGUAUUUGGUGAGAUAAUGGUUGGCCUUCUCUCCACAGCUUUUUCAACCUUUCUAUCCUGUUUUCCAGGAGUAAGAGAUGAAGAAUUAUGUCCAACCUCAACAGGUGGUGUCUUAACAUUGCGAUAUAUAUCAUCUGUUGCCAAAACUGAAUUUUUAAUGAGAGAACUGUCAACACUAGAUGGCGAACGCCUGCCUCUUUCAGAAUGCAUUUGAGAUUUCUCAGCAGGAUGUGGUGUUUUUGAAUGCUUAGAGAUCAUUUUGGCAGAAGCUUCUUUAUGAACUGGUGUUCUCUGCUCUUCCUCUUCAGAAUCAUCAUCAUCAAUACGACAUGAUCUUCUUCUGGCAGGCAAAUUGCUAGUGGAGGACCUGUUGACAGCAGCCAUAACUUCCUUCACAGUAUGAGAAACCUUUUCGCUCGUAUCGUUGGCACUUCUUGUUGCAGAGUUAGGUGCUUGUUCCAACUCGUUACUGGGUUGCUUUGAUAGAGGAGACACAGCCUUACCACCUAAUGCCUGGAUCUUAUCAAUAUGUGAUGAAAUUGCAGGGGUUGCAGAUUUGCUACCUUUCGUGGCAUAAGCAUCUUUACUUUCUGAAUUUAUUUGCAACAAAUCGCUCUUAGCUGAGCUCUUAAUUAUAUCACCUCCCUUCUCUUCUGGUUUCAACUUUUUAACUGGCCGUGAAUCUUCAGUCUUGUCCAGUCCCUGCUUUCUAAUUCCAAGCUGAGACUUUUUUCCAGAACCAGUAGAAGAUAAUGACCCUUCAGUUACAUGUCUCUUGAGACUAUCCGAUUUAUCCUUGAUAAGAUCACUUUUCAAUGUUUUCUUCUCAUCUGAGCGUCUCUUCAUAAAGCUUGGACUCUUUGAUCUCUUCUUGCUCUCCAUGGUAAAAUCUAUUUUACUAACAUUUUUGGGCAAUUCUUCAUGUCGACCAUGCUUCCUAGCCUUUCUGUCUGAAUACUUUAAAUGCUUUCCUAUUUCACGAUUCCUUUUCGCUCGUAGAGCAAGAACUACAUCUUUUUGUUCAGGAACCGCCUCUUUUGUCUGAUGACCAUUUUCUACAACCUUCUGUUCUUCACCUUUUAGAUCAGUAUCAUUUCCAGAAAGAGGUGGAGAGCCCUCAUGCUCUUUCUUCUUUUUCAAAUCUGAGAGGUCAAAAGAGUCCUUUUCAACUACACCACUAUGAUUUCUUGAGCCACAAUCCAGACCUUUCAACUCAUCACUGGAGUUAUCACUUUCUUUAUAUUCAACUUUCUUGUUCUGGCCUUCUAAAUGCGUGUUUUCAAGGUCCUCUAUGGGAUCUUUGCUUUCUUCUCCAUCGAUUGGAGAAGAUAUGAGGCCAAAGCCAGAGGCAUCAAUAUCCUCCCCUGAGUCACCUGAUUUUUUCUUCUGAAGUUCAUCAAAAGCCUUGCAAAUCUCUUCCACAGCACGGGCGAAAUGUUUAACCGUUUUACCUUGGCAGCGAGCAAGCAACUUACUCUUUGAUUCAUUCGUAAAUAACUGAAUAUCAGCUGGAGCAACAAAAGCACUGAAAAGAGACAGUACACAAAGGCAGUUAGCCAAAGCAAACAAUAUAAAAUUCUCCAGUUGAUUGAAUGAAAAUAGAUAUAACAGUUAAUACUGUAACCAUAUAAAAUUUGCCCAUAAAAUAGUUUGUAUUGCUGAAAGGUACAAAGAAAACAACAUUAAUGUCUGGAUAGAGAAGCUAAUGCUUCCUAAUAUUCAAUGGCAUCUACGGCCACUAUCAUAUACAAAGCUGAACAUAUUUAGGAGCUUGGAUAACAAAACUAAGUUCAAUGACUUGUUUACAGGAACAAGCAGAAAACCAUUAGGUCUAACCAGGUCAAAAUUAGCUAAUUUAAAGCUCACACAUUCAAAAUCAGGUUGAAAUUAAAAUCCAACAUAUAAUAAUAUUCAUAAAAAUCAUGCCGAUCCAUCAGCCCCUCCCACUCCCCUUAGGUGCCAUACCAAAUCUGACAACCAUUAAGUGGAUCCAAAACUCCUUUUUCUCUAUCAUUCUCUCCGUCUUAGCUGCCUCUUUCUCUACCAUUCCUAAUCAGCACACAUCCAAUUAGUUAUAUAAGUUCCACACUCAUAUCACGAUCAUUUCUAACAUCCCCAUCAAUAGGUUAAUUCUUUUUCAAGAGAACUCAAUAAGAAUGCUUAGACAAAUAUGCUCAACACUAUAAAGCACCUUAAAAAGUCAAUUAAGUUUUUGAGGUCUUAACUUUAUCUCUAAAGAUACUUUAUUACUUCCAGAAAUGAGCAAAUUCAAGAUGGUUUGCCACAACAAACUAUAGAUACGAACUUCAUAAAUGGUAUAGUUACUCAACCAUUCCUCAUAGUUGAUCUUCCAUCAUAACCAAAUUCUUCUACUUGAGGUUAAAAGAAACAACAUUGAAUAACAUGGAACGUCAGGGGAAAACAACACAACUGGUUAGGAUGUAUACGAACUAUUGCUAAAUUUGACAAAAAGGGGUGCUUAAUAAAGGACAGGCAGGUAUCACUCACAUCUCCUUCGUCCCAAAGAAAUGAACAAAUUGUUUCCUCGGAUCGGGCGAUCUUUCCCAAUCUUCAGGCCUGCUUAUCUGAAGAAACACAACGUUGCUACUAAAUGUAAAGCAUUCAGAAGCCACAGAAUUUUGCACAAAUUCAUGGUACAAGAAAAUGAAUGUAACUAAGACCACAAGUGGAAUCAAAGAAAAAAAAUUCGAUUAUUACAAUAUAAAUAUCACAACAGGGAAUGUAUUUAUUGAACUAGGCAGGAGCAACAUGGCACCAUUAAAAUUCCGUAGGUUAAAUUUGGGGAGCAUUUUUCCCAGAGCCUCAAUGAUUCCCAAAGUCUCAAUGAUUCUUAUGCAGAAAUAAAAGAAACAAGAUGAUAACAGAAGAAAGAAAGGCGCAAACCGACCAAAGGUCAACAAGAAAUUCUUUAUUAUUCUAAAGGCAUAAAUAUCCCAUGAGAGCCCAAUUCCAGAACCCUCGUACGCUACCCAAAUCCCCAGAGAAAAUCGGCGAGACGCGACAUGCCAUAGGAAUAACAAGAUAACCAAAAUCAAAACCAAAACCAAUACACCUCCAAGAAUCAAAAACCCUUCGCCCCCCCUGCGGCGCGACCCCAAGCGAUAUAGAACGAGAGAUCAUACCCACCUUCGCUGGCCACGCAGGGUACCCCUUAACCUUCGCCAAGACCAAGUCCCCGAGCCGCAACUGGUCCUUCGCCUUCCCCCGGCUCGCGCCCUUCCUCCGACCCGUGGCCAUGGGGGCGGGCGCAGAAACCCUAAUCCGACCCCAAUUCCACGAGAAGCGCGGGCGCCACGAGAUCGAACAGAAGAGGCCAGGGGGCGGGAAAGGAAACCCUAGAAAUCCUCAAGCGGAGCGACCGCCGCGUCUUCGGCGGCGGCUCCAUGGUGGCGACCAAUGCUGGCGCCCUAAAGUGGCGAGAUCGGAGCCGAUCGGAGCGCCGGAAGCGGCGACGGCGACGGCGUCGGCGUCGGCGUGUGGUGGCGCCGCCACAUUCGGAGGGGGAAGGGGGUGGGGGAAGUGGAUCGAAUGGAGAGAGAGAAAGAGAGAGAGAGGUGCUUUAAUGGCGAUCGAAUUGCGGAGGAGAGAGCAAGAAAGAUAAUAGCAACUAUAGAGAGAGAGAGAGAGAGAGAGAGAGAGAGAGAACAAAGAGAUUAUUGUGGGCUACGUCUUUUCUUGCUAUCGCCGAAGCUACCGGCCGUUGGAUAUUGAUCAGACGGUUCUGAUCAGGUAUUACGGUGCAAAAUUUAUUUGGCCGCGUGAUUUUGAAUCCAACGGCUGAUAUUUUUUUGUAAUUUGGUACGUGGGGGUUGUGGGGGGAUAAAGAACGCGUAGCAGUGGGACACGUGUAGCGUCGAAUUACUCGGUCCGCUACUUGUGUCCAUCAUUCCAAGCGCAAAUAUAAGAUUUUGAAUUCAAUUUCCCAAAUAUAAGAUUUGUUACUGAACGCUUUUAUUUUUUUUAACUUAAACAUUACUUCAGCAUGAGAAGCUAUGUAAAACAAUGUAUUACAAUUUUUUAGGCAAAAAAAAAAAUAAUAAUAAUAAUGCAGUAGGAACACUUUAACAAAUUACAGAAUACAUCUAAUACAGCUUGAAUUUUUAAUAUUUUUGACUUGAUACACUAUCAUUUACUAAAAGUAUUAUCCAAUGGUCAAUAUUUUUUUUUUUUUCACAAAUUCGAAUCAUUCGCUGUUGUUGGUCGAGUUGUUUCGACACCAAAGGGCGUUUGGUUAGAUAUAAUUAUAAAUAUAGUAUAGUUAAAGAUAUAUAUAGUUAAAAAUAUAGCAGUUAUAACUAUAUAAAUCUUAUUUGGUUGGAUAUAGUAGAAAGCGCUGCAAAUAUAAAUAAUUUAUUUGGUUACAUACAGUUGAGAAAUAAUUUUUAAAAUUUUAUUAUUUUAUAUAUAUAAUGGUGAGAUUACCUCCAAUGUAAAAAAAAAAAUAAUUUUUGUUUAAAAAAUAUUGAGGAGGUAAGCAUACAUUUUAUUUAAAAUUACUCUCUCCAACAGCUGUAGUUGAAACUGUGGCCAAUUUGGGUGUAGUUCGAACUGCUGCAGUUGGGCCUCCUCCUGCCGUUCCUACUGCAGCAGUUGGAGUUAAAUACAUCAAAUCAAAUACGAAAUUUGCAUUUACAUGCAAUUACAACUGCAGUACAGUUGGAACUACAUGCAACCAAACGGUCCCUAAUUACACAUACUUCUGAGUAUUGAAAAAAUAGAAGUAAAAAAAUACAUAUAUAAUUAUGCUACUAUACUAUCGAUAAUACCAAACGCUUGCUAUCGAGUUUUCGGCCGUUGGAUAAAAGAAUAUACGUUUAGAAUGAUAGUGAUUAUCUAGGUAUCGAUAGUACAGUACCAAAUGUUUGCUAUCGAGUUUUCGGUCGUUGAAUGAAAAGAUGUAUGGUUAAGAUGAUAGUGAUCAUCUAGGAUUGAGUGGGUGGGUAGUUGGUUGAAUAGUAUAAUCUAACGAAUGAAAAUGAUCAAAGAAUAGAUCUAACGGCAGAAAACUUGAUUGUAUCAAGAAUUUAGUAUAGUAUAUAGUAGCUCAACUCUCUCUCUCUAUAUAAUAUUUUUAUAAUGUAUGCAUAAAUUAGUCUGUUUUAUCUAAUUUGUAAUUAUUUCAACAAAAAAAAAAUGGAUAUACCACAGCCAAAAAUUGGCUACCCAUCAAAAUAUUCUCCACCAAAAUAUCUUGUACACUUUUUCUUUCCCACAAGAAAUAUCUUCCUAUCCAAUCCCCAUAUAAACUCUCCUCUUCUUCUCCCUCCCACCACUCGAUCCCCUUCUAACACUUCACCAUAAGAUGAACACCUUGUUCCCAAACACCCUAUUCUCUCUACCACUAAAACCUAAACCCCUACUCACUCCCGCAACAACAACAACAACAAUUUCCGCUCUAUCCAAUCGAGCUAUUCAUUUAUAUAAAUGCAAAGCAUGCAACAACAGGAAUGCAUGGAUAGAGGAGUACGAUUUAUACGAGCUCUUGGGGGUGGAGAGCUCGUCGGAGCAGCCGCGGAUAAAGGCCGCGUACCGCGCGCUGCAGAAGCAGUGCCACCCCGACGUCGCAGGGUCCGCCGGCCACGACAUGGCCGUCAUCCUCAACGAUAUCUAUGCACUUCUCUCCGACCCCGUCUCCCGCUCCGCCUACGAUCAGGUUCGUCAUCGAGACCCUCCUAACUCGUCAGGUUUCAUUUUAGUUCUCGAACUUUUUCAGCUGAAAGUUUGACACCAUUUUUAGCGUUUAUCUGUAAGUUUAAUUUUAUCUUUAUUGCUAAAUUAGUUAGAUUGUGAUUACAAUCAGAUUUAGCUGUACGUAUUUUCCUAACAAUAUCUCAUUGUUCAAACAGGAGCAAGAAAAACUCUCAGAAUUCCGAGGAUACACGGGAAAACCGACCUAUUCGACGUGGUUCGGGGCCGAGACCGAAGAUCGUGCCGUCUUUGUGGACGAGCUCAGAUGCGUCGGUUGCUUGAAAUGUGCUCUCUUUGCAAGCAAAACAUUUGCCAUCGAAUCGGUCUACGGGCGUGCUCGUGUUGUCGCCCAGUGGGCUGAUCCCGAAGAGAAGAUCGUCGAGGCGAUCCAAACCUGCCCGGUCGACUGCAUCUCGUAAUACGACUGACGAAAUCUCCCUUGAUGCAUUAGUUACAAGCUGAUAAUCAAACCUUAUCAUUAUGUUUGCGUAGGGUUGUCGAAAGAUCUAACCUGGCAGCCCUGGAAUUCCUGAUGUCGAAGCAGCAGCGCGGCAGUGUGAGGUUGUCUGCAGGUAACACCGUGGGAGCGCGAGCGUCAGACAUUUUUUCUGAUGUCAACAAGUUUCAGAGGAGAUUCAGGGAGAUCAAAGAAAAAGCUUCAAGGAAAGAGUCCAAGGUAAUGACAUUGACACAAGUCUAGAAGAGAUAUUCUAGUGCUAAAAGAUGCAUCUGAAAUGUAAUAAUUAAUGUCGUGUUAAGAGGAUCUGAAAUCAUAUCACCAAAACCAGAGAUUCAAAAUAGUGCACAACUUGUAAUGCCGCAUCGUCGAAUAUUACUUGAUGAAAUAGCCCUAAGCUAUUCGUUUCAUGUCGAGAUGCAUGCAUGCUUUAGUACAACAAAUCUUUUUAUGCGUAAAUUAUUCCAUUUUCGUAACUAUUUUUUUUUUCUUCUGAUAAUCAGGAGUCGGACCUUCUAAGAAAAUCCAGGAUUUCAGCUGUUCAAGGAAUCCGAUCGAUCUCAAAUUGGUGGUACUGGACGCCUUUCAAAUCUGCGACAGUCGACACUGAAACCUCACUAAUUCCGAUCCCCAGUACACGAAGAAUCGACACGUCUGCCACAGAAAGACUUAAAGAAGCAGCUGCCGCCAAAAGAAAAGCAGAAGCCAUCCGACGGGCAUCGAUAUCUUACCGCAACAACGAUGACUACUGGACCCCGAUGCUCGCCCUUCCAUCUCAGUCCGGCAAUUUCAAUAUGCCAAAAUCCUCUACAGGGUCCGAAAAGAGUGAUCUUUUGGAGGACUCAGAUGCGAAUCGAGGAACGACGAGAGUCGAGAAAGAGAAAUGGGGGGUUGAUUUGAAGGCCCCUCUUCUGAUGGCAAUGGUUUCUGCAGCAGCUGUAGGGUAUAAAGGGGGAGAUGCAGCAGAGAGUGUUGGACUCAAAGAACACAUUGGUGGUGAUGUGGUAUUGAGAGUUGUCAAUAGCUUUGAGUUGCAGGUUUUGUUAGCAGGAGUUACUUGGUUUGUAAUUGGGCUGAUUGUUGUAGGUUUAGUUACAGUUGUUAGAAAGGGAGAGAAUGCUUAAAAGAUGAAGAAAAGAAGUUGAUGAGGGGAUGAUACAACACUCGUGAUGUAAUAGUAUGUAUACAUAUAAGAGACAAGGGUACACAUAUACUGUUGAUAUGAAGUUACACUGAAUGACAAGAACAAAAUGGCAUAGAUAUAAUCAGGGCAAAUAAUAGGAGUAAUGAAUUUUCUUUAAAAAAGGAUAUGGUUGCAUCCCAAACUAUCAGAUUUGUUUAUAUCUUGAACAGCAUCCCUAGUGGUUCUUGUCUUUUAUGUGCUGGGCGUUUUUAUAAUUCGUUAGCCUUUUCCUUGUCUUUUUUUUUUUUUUUCGUCAGUUUAAUUUUAGGCUAAAAUUUAUCUCAUCAUGUUGCUUCUAUGCAUGACAGGUAAUAGCUACUGCUUUACACACGUAUAUUUUAGUUGGCAUAUUUCUUCCCAUUUAGUAAAUAAGUAUGCAAACUUUAGUAGCUGAGGAAUGUAGUCAAACAACUAGAAUAAAUACCAUAUUUGACCUUCAAUUAUUUUUUCCAAAUAAAAUAAAUCAUCUACCAAAUUAUUUUCUCACGAUAAUAAUAUAUUUUUUUUAGAGAGAUAAGUAGCACGCUACUCGCUUCCUUUAUUUUAUUUAGAAAUAAACUUAACUAGAAAUAUGAAUCAACUAGGAUUCAAACUUGGGUCUCGAAUACCAACCACCAAAUCCUUUGACACUUGCUCUAGAGACGGUCGGUUCUCACGAUAAUAAUACCAUCCUGUCAAAUUAUAAACGUAUCAAGACAUUAUAUACGUAUCAAGACACGUGAUCGGGGAAUUGUUAUUAUCCUCCUCGCCAAGUUCUUUUUUCUACCGGUACUGCUUUAGAGCACCUCAUAUGUUAACCGAAGUAUAUAUCACGCUGGUAUCGAUGAUAAUUAUAUGUUCUUCUACGGAAAUGAAAAAAAAAAAAAAAAAAUCUGUUUUCAACUGAUAACCCCAACCUGAGUUUUGUUCCGAAAUCUUACAUAAAAAACCACAAACUACUAAAAUGCUAGUAUAGUGUAAACAUACAACAAAACUGAUACGAGCCACAAGGCGAGGACCAAUGUUGGUUCUCCUCCUUGCCAAAGUAAUCAAACGGCCAACAAUUAUUAGACAUAUGAAAUGAUUUUAAAUGUUGCUCUAAGAACUAGUUGCACCCAAAUAGCUUUCUCAAUACACUGUAGUGUCUUAAUGGCCACAAAGGAAAGUAUCAUUAGCACAGCAUAAUCAUUUUCAAAAAGGAUUAUCUUAAAUAGUUAUCUAGCUUGCAUCUAACUCAAAAUGGCUCAAGUUGUAAAGAGGGGAAAAGUAAAUAAAGCUCAAACUAAAGUUAUUAACUGCGGUAUUCUCUAUUGUCUCUAACUUAAAGCCAACCUCUUCGCUGAUAAUUCCAUCCGAUGUAAAACUCAUGUAACUUACACGUCAAUUGUUGAGACCCGGCAAGCACUUAUCUCAUCCUUUUUUGUGCUUUGAAUAAUCACCGGUGAUCAGGAGAAGACCUCACCACCUAUUUUUGGGUGGUUUCACUUUGUAUAUCCGCACGAUCCAGUUUGACGUAGUGAAUGCCUCUUCCAGGUACUCGAGCGUGAUGUCUUUGUUCCCGAUUUCCACUCCUCUUGCUCGAUCGUAUCUGUAACAUAAAAGAAGCAUUAACCAUUAAAUCAGGGAGUCGUUCAAGUUUCUUGUCAGUUAUGUAUGUGUUGGUGUUAGUAUGCGCAGAGAGGGUCCACUCUUGGCACUAGGCUCGAGUUUUAACCACUUCAAUACUUGAAGCAAAGAGGAGGGCCAUUCCAUAGUCCAUGUCAGUUUGCUAGCUGCUGUAACUUGAAAAGCUGGAUAUAAUAUGAUUGCAGCAUUUAGCAUUCUGGCACGGAUUAUAGACCGCAUAAACCAUGAAAUUUCAGCUUAGUGUUUGGAUAAAACUUAUUUUGUGUUU